This 76716-nucleotide long non-coding RNA is filed under the name Triticum aestivum (bread wheat). RNAcentral's name for it is "long non-coding RNA (TAES_LNC012408)". The record is from RNAcentral. Lineage: Eukaryota; Viridiplantae; Streptophyta; Magnoliopsida; Poales; Poaceae.
UUUUUUUUUGUGUGUGUGUAUUUCUGGUAAACCGUCGGAUGAAAACAUAUGGGGUGACCGAGAUUUCUUAGUUCUUUUUCACCCCAUUUGGUUCACUUGAAUCAGAGUACCACAUCUAAAUCUUGAUCCUGCUGCCUGUGUCACUUGAGUCAGAGUGUACUCAAGUUUACCAUCCAAUAAGGCUCAAGAUUUUUUUUGCUUUCUUUAUCCAGGUUUAAAAACCCACCUGAUCUGUGUGUGUUUCUGUUAAACCAUUGGAUGAAGAAUUGAGGGAGUCGAGACCCAGAUUUCUCAAUUCUUGUCGACUGACCCUAGUUUCUCUCACGCCAUUUAGUUAACUUGAAUCAGGGUGUACCUCAAGUUUACCAUAAAUCUUGAUCCUGCUUCCUGUGUCAUUUGACUUCUCUUCUUCUUUUCAAUAUCCUGUGGUAGUACGUAGUAGAUUCCACACUGAGAUGCCUGUCUCUGCAUGACGCUAGAGUAUUAUUUACCAUACUGGGGGGUCAACUGGAUCAUAACGGUAGAGAUGUUGAGGAACAUGGUGGACAUACUCCCUUGUGGAGCUGCAGUAGAGUUACUGUCUACCAGCAGUCUGUGGUUUGCCUCUGUUCUUGCUGUCCUUUAAUGAUCUGCCGCUGCACUUGCCUAGUUGGCCACCAUCAGUUCAAGUGUGGGGCAGUGAGAAAUGGACCUGUGAAAAUGCACUGAACAGAAUAUCCUCCGCGUGAUAAAACAAACAAAACAUGACCGCCCGGUAGCGAUUUUGUGAAUAUUAAUUGUCUCUGGUAAUGCAUGUUGCGGAACACCUUCAAAAUGUUUUGUGACAGAUGGUUUUUGGGUGGGGUAUUACACGCUUGAGGGCUUUCCAGUAUCUUUAUCAACCUAGUUUUGUGAUUGAAGUCGUGUAUGGUGCAGUAUGCUGUGGUUCCUGUGUUGGGAAUUGCUUUGCACAUUCGAGUAUCCAGAGCCCCCAGCGCAAUACCUGUGUGUUGGUUGGUGAAGUAGGUUUAAGAUCUUUCCACCUAUUGUGCGAAAACAGAAUGUGUAAUGAUUGGUGGAAAUGGAGAUAAAGACGAUCAAAUUCAUCUUGCGCCUGAGGUUUAGAUCCUUGAUUUAUUGUCAGAAAAUCGUGGAAUAGAUAGCACAAUCUGCUGCCAUAGAUUGCGAAUUAUGCGACCGAUCAUCGAUAUCGAUUGCUACCCGUACGGGGGAACGAGUGAAGGACGACCGCAGCCAAGUUUCUGGCUGGGCAGAAGGUAUGGUUGACGCUUGCUCAGACAUGUUUAUGACCCAGCUGUGAAUCCAGGCCAAUCCUGACUCGCCCAAGCCGUAGGAGUAGGUAAACACAGCCAUGAUGAUUGAUCCAAGCUGCUGCCAGUGGCAGUCAUUGGUAGGAGUAGAUCGGAUCCGUGAGGUGACUAACGCGAAAAGAAAAAAGAAAGACUAUCCUGUGAGGAGUGAAUGAAUCAUGGUGUUUUGGUCGCCCGCGUCACGCGUCCCUCCUUCCUUCCCCUACCACCACUCUACGACCGGUAGUCCAGUACCGGGCCAGGCCGGGCCGGUCGUGGUAGUACGUGGGCCUCCACGUAGGUGCGCCGCGGCAGGAGGCUCGCUCGUUGCGUUGCGUUGGCUGUUCCCGUGUCCGGUUCCUGCCAUCAGCGAGCCCCUGUCGCGCCCGCCCCACCGACCGACCCAGCAGUACGCAUCUCGGAUUUCUCAAAAAAAAAAAAAAGCAGUAUGCAUCUCGGCGACUAAUCGUCGGCCUGCUGGGGGCGGCCGCAGCUGCACGCACGCCGCCUGCGCCUCCCCCUUGUCGUCGUCGACGCCGCCGUGCCCUACCCCGCCGUACGACCCGGUCGCUCUCCCCCAUGCGUUGAGGUGAAAAAACAUCAAUGCAUGCCCAGACUGGCCUGGCCCUGAACCCGUCUCUGCAACCGAAGGAAUGGAACGGUUAAAGACUUGCUGCAGGCGGGGAGACGUCCGUGGCUGCAGUGUCAAUUGCCACUGCCACGACGUACGUUUCCCCCUGCCCGUGCAGCGGGUUUGCUGGCAGGUACGUACGUGAUAGGCUGGCCACCACCGGCCAGGCAUCGAUGGUUUGGGCGUUGGCGACGGCAGGUCCACGAGCACGAGGCACGAGCUGAGCAGCAGGGCGCGCCGGGCCAAUGGCGCUUCAAUUGCAACGGGGUGGUGGUGGUACUCUGAUGGAUGGGGGCACCUGGCGCGUACGUACGUGUGGCCGGUAGCCGGGCCCUCUUCCGCGUACAGCCUCUGCUCCGCGUCACAGGCGUCGCGUACGUCCGUCCCUCCUCGAUCGGGAAACCUUGGCCGGACCCUGCCGGGAUCUCGCAUUUACCUGCACCGCACAGUAGUUUAAACCUGCCAGCCGCGCCGCAGUUACAGACUUCAGAGUGCGUAGUACGCACGCACGUCGCCUUAUCUAUCUCGUGUUCCGUUGGAUCUGGGCUGAACAUUCGACAGAUCGGCGUUCCGACCCGAUGUACGUACGUGCGUCUGGUCGGCACACGUCGUCGUCGGCGGCGCUGGCGCCGCAGCGGACGAACAGUGGCGUCGAUCGGGACGGGACGGACGACGCAGAGAAAGUUAGAAGCCAUUGCUGGCUGGCCUGGCUUGGCUUGGCUAGCUACAAGGGUGAAAAACCAGCCGGGAAACGGCCAAGCCAGGGGCGGCCAAUGGCGACCGGAUCGGUACAAAGACGACGAGAUCUCUGCCGCUGCCGGUGGCGGACUGGUGGUGGUGGUGUCGCAAUCAAUCAUGCACUGCCCGGGAAGAAGCCAGAUCCGGAGCUGUUUGCUGGUGGCGGGGAAGCAUGCAAGGCCUCUCCCUCUCGUCGACGGACGGACGCAUGCAGGCAUGCAGCAGCGGACGUACGUACGUGCUCACGCGCGCGCGUACGAGGCCCGGCCGGUCCGCCGAUCCCGUCGCUUCGGCCGUGCCGCGCGGGAGACGUCGAUGAUUGAUAGGGGCAAAAGGGGGCUGACGAUGUGCCGUCGUCCGUGAUGAUCACCAUGUGUUGUGUUGCGAUGCAGCGAGGACGGCGAGGUGGAGGAUGCGAUGUACUGGCCGUGGAUUCAUGCGUGGGACGGAUCUCUGUAGCUUGGCGGGAAGAUGUAGAUCGAGGAAUAUUGCACCGCUGGGCAUGCAACAUUGACACAUUCUUUUUCUGGUCGAACGAACAACUUUAACCUUUAUAUCCGCUGGAUGCCACCGUACAAGGUGGAAUGUGCAGGUAUAGCACGUUGCAUAUCGUUGGUAUUUUUUGUUGUGAGAGCGAGGUAAUAAAAAUUUCAACCGCGUCCAUGGACCACCUAGCGACGACUACAAAUAUUGGAGCAAGUUUUUUGGCUAAAAAAAAAACAAAUACUGGAGCGAGCCGAAGAGGCGCCGUUGUCAUCACCCCUCUUUCAUAGGAGCCGGACAAACCUUGUUGUAGUAGAUAGUCGGGAACUCGUCGUGUUAAGGUCCCAAAGGAACAACGCACCAGAGCAGCAACCAUCGCCGAUGAAAAAAGUUGUAGAUCAAACCUGUAACCACACGAAUGAAGACAAACAAAAACUGGACCCAAAUGGAUCCACCGAAGACCGACACCGACUGAAUCCUCGUGAGAUCCGAUGGAGACACACCUCCACACUUCCUCCGACAAUGCUAUUCACACCAUCAGAAUGGAGAUCGGACGUGAAAGACAAUUAUUCUUACCAGGGACAUCGACAUCGCCACACAACCCCAAUCAAGACGUCAAAACUAACAAAAACGAGAACGGGGUCCCUCCCGCCGGCGGGUGGCUGAGAUCCUGCGCACCUCCACAACCCAAAGGCCAUCGGAGGUGGGCGGAUCGGCAGGGGCGCAGGCGGGAGGAGGAAGAAGACUUUUCUUGAGGAGGAAAGACCAUAUUGUUGGUAUUUAUCGAGUCGUGGAUCCAAUGUUGCCUCUGCGCAUAUGAUAUUGGUAAAUGGUGGUGCCUCUUUCGAAGAUUUCAACCUGUCAUGUAUAUUUGUUAGAGGAACGGUAGCAAUCUAGGGCGUGCUUGGUUAGCUGCAUCAUUUUUUGGGUUUUUGUAUGUGUGACUCAGUUGGGUCUGACCGAGCUAAUGCUUUUUUGCGGGUUGGACUGGGUUGAUGCACUACACGACAUUUGGUUGUGCACAACAUAUUUUGUGAUCACCCCUUCUCACUAGUGAUGAUCCUCACCACACACGAUUGAAACAUCAUUUCAAUCCUAGUUAGGAAAUAAAUGACAGUUCAUCCUACCUACUAACAAAUUACAACACAAAUUAAAAGUCGUAUGGCUCAAUAUGGGAAAGUUCAUCGAUGCCAAACUAGGUUAAGUCCAUCCUCGUCUUCGAAGUCGAAGAGAAGAAGUAGGUCCUGCUGCUGGAGAUUGAAGUCAUCAUCGUCGCUACCGCUUCCGCAGAUCUGAGAGUCACCGCCGCCGAGCAAGGCAAGGACUGAGGCUAGGUUUGUCCUAGAGCUAGAAGUNNNNNNNNNNNNNNNNNNNNNNNNNNNNNNNNNNNNNNNNNNNNNNNNNNNNNNNNNNNNNNNNNNNNNNNNNNNNNNNNNNNNNNNNNNNNNNNNNNNNNNNNNNNNNNNNNNNNNNNNNNNNNNNNNNNNNNNNNNNNNNNNNNNNNNNNNNNNNNNNNNNNNNNNNNNNNNNNNNNNNNNNNNNNNNNNNNNNNNNNNNNNNNNNNNNNNNNNNNNNNNNNNNNNNNNNNNNNNNNNNNNNNNNNNNNNNNNNNNNNNNNNNNNNNNNNNNNNNNNNCGCAUACGUCAUGCCCCACUUUUGGGCCUGACUCACCGAAAAUGGUUGAUUCAAGCAUUUCUAGCGGGCGAGACUCUAGGCUACUUUAAGGUUUGUGCGCGUGCGAGUAAGGCCUCCUCGUAUGCUACUAAACAAGUGUUUUCUCACACCCAUUGUAACGCCCCGGAUACAACUUUCCAUAUUCGUAACUCCAACUCUUGCCUUUUCCGGAGAUGCGAUAUGAUAUUUCCUUCGUGGUUUGGGUUUUGUCUGUUGUUUUGCAUUUUGUUCUAGUUAUGCAUCUCGUCUCAUGGCAUCAUGCGCAUUGCAUUUGCAUGUUUUCAUAAAGAUUGCAUCCGUUCGUAGUUGGCGCGUCCCCCCUUGCCUUCGUAGACCGUUUCGAGUCCAACCGGGUUCUCGUUCCCCUUUUGUUGGACCGCCAUAUCUCUCUGCCAGUCAUGGACCCCCCCUCCUUUGCAGCCCCCCCGCGUGCGUGUCUGAAACCUUUUCCGAACCCGACCGGAGCAGUCGUCACCGAUGAGUCCGAAUCAUCCCCCAACAUCCCUAAAACAUCUUUGGUUUCUUAUUUGAACUCUCCUAGCCUAUCUAUUCUGAACCUUUGAUCUCGAUCGGACGUCUGCGAUCUGUCCAAAUCUUGCUCUUCUAAGCCCACCUAGUUGUUGCACAUUUCGGAGCCGUCUGAUCUCGAUCGGAGGGCUCCAAACAGCCCUCGGUCACCCCCUCCUACUAUAUAUGGACACCCUACUCCAUUUUCGGAAACCCUAACCCCUAGCCCUUCUUCCCCACUGCCCCGCCGCCACUUGGCGCGCAGCCACCGGUCACGCCGCCAAGCACGUGCCCUGUCUCCCUCCUCGCGUAGGGCCCGCGGAACCCAGAUCGAGGCCUUGGAAGCCCAUCUGUGCCCAAACCGUGCCGCCGCCCGCUCCUCCCGUCGCUUGAACCCUCCACCCGAGCGCCUCCUCGUCCCAAUCCAUGUGCGCCUCGCCGGAGUCCGGCCGCCGGACCAGCUCGUCGGAGCUCUCAACGCCUAGGACCUCCUCCUCGCGCCCUCUCUCUUUCUUCCUCUGCCGUUUCCUCUCUCCCACACAUCUCUCCCUGCAGGAGACUAGCAGCCAUGGACAGCCCUAGGAACUCCCUCGCAGCCGCCUGGAUCUGGCGUCUCGCCGGAGAACGCCGUCCUCGCCCAGAUCCAACCGCCCCUGCUUCCCGUCGCGCCUCCCCGCCUUGGAUCCGGUCGUCCCCGCGAUGUCCCUGCCGCCAUGUCCACGCCAUGGCCUCUGCUUCCUCUUCAUCGAGCAGGAGCAGCCCGCUCGCCUCGCUCCCGUUGACCAGCGCGCGUGGCCAGGGGCCGCUAGCUCCAAGGCCCAGCCGAAGCCAGCCAACCCCAGCCUCCUCCAGCCUCGCGCCCUCUUGGGCCUCCUGCACCGACUGGGCCGAGCCCAUGGGUGAGGCCCCCCAGCCCCUCCAGAUCCGGCCUGUGUCAUAUUUUUUUCCUGUUGCUUUUUUUUCUAUUUUCCAGAGAAACUGCAUAUUUACAGAUUGACCCCUGUUCUACAUGCAUAUAAUACCUCAUGAACCGUGCAUCAUAUGUAAAUAAUUUAUAUAUGUAAAAUGCUUAGAAUUUUGUGUAGAUUAAUAAUAUGCCACUUUCAUCCAUGUUUAAAAUGUUUAAAAUUCUGUUUGUUUAAAUUUGCCAAUAUGCCAUGUUAAAAUGAUUUAUUUCAUAACUAAAUAAUCGUAGCUCCGUUAUAACUAAACUUUAUAUGUAAAUGAGGUGGAAAAAUGCCUAGUUUAACGUGGUACACUUUGUUUUAUUGUUUAACAAUAUUAAAAUAUGUUUUAGGGCAGAACAGUACCAAAUCUAAAAUAUGCACAUGAGGUUUUUUCGGAAUUGUUGUUUGUUGUUUCCGGCCUCAUUUAAACUUGCCUAAAUAGUUAGUUUACUUAUGUUCCACCUCUUUCCAUGUUUACAACAUUUAAUAUUGUUGUGUACCUAAACGAGAGCGAACUAAAUAACUCGAAUGUGGUGUUUCGUCAAUAUGCAACUCGUUGCAUAUUGAGCUCCACUUAAAUUGUAGUAUUGUGUGUUGCAGUUUGCCAUGCCAUGCCUCAUUAAACCGGACAUGCAUCAUACUUGUUUGUGCAUCAUGUCAUGUUUAUGCUUGUGCAUUUACCAUGUUGUUUGUUUUUUUCUGGUGUUGCUUCUUAGUUCCAGUAAUGUUGCGAUUGUGAGGAUUUGUUCGACUACUUCCGUUCGACUUCUUCAUGGACUCGUGCUUCUUCCUAGUGGGAUCUCAGGCAAGAUGACCGCUACCCUGGAUCUCACUACUAUCAUUGCUAUGCUAGUUGCUUCGUUCUAUCGCUUUGCUGCGCUACCUAUCGCUUGCUCUUCCAGCCUCCCUAUUUUGCCAUGUCAGCCUCUAACCUUUUCACCCUUCCUAGCAAACUGUUGCUUGGCUAUGUUACCGCUUUUGCUCAGCCCCUCUUAUAGCGCUGUUAGUUGCAGGUGAAGUUGAAGAUUGCUCCAAGAUGGACAGGGUUAUGUUGGGAUAUCACAAUAUCUCUUAUUUUAAUUAAUGCAUCUAUAUACUUGGUAAAGGGUGGAAGGCUCGGCCUUAUGCCUGGUGUUUUGUUCCACUCUUGCCGCCCUAGUUUCCGUCAUACCGGAGUUAUGUUCCCGGAUUUUGCGUUCCUUACGCGGUUGGGUGAUUUAUGGGACCCCCUUGACAGUUCGCUUUGAAUAAAACUCCUCCAGCAAGGCCCAACAUUGGUUUUACCAUUUGCCUCACCUAGCCCUUUUCCCUUGGGUUUCCGGAGCCCGAGGGUCAUCUUUAUUUUAGCCCCCCCGGGCCAAUGCUUGUCUAAGUGUUGGUCCAAACCGAGCGAUGUCCGGCGCCCCCUGGGCAACCAGGGUCUAUGCCAACCCGUCGUCUUGCUCAUCCGGUGUGCCCUGAGAACGAGAUAUGUGGAGCUCCUAUCGGGAUUUGUCGGCACAUCCGGGUGGCUUUGCUGGUCUUGUUUUACCAUUGUCGAAAUGUCUUGUAAACCGGGAUUCCGAGUCUGAUCGGGUCUUCCUAGGAGAAGGAAUAUCCUUCGUUGAUCGCGAGAGCUUAUCAUGGGCUAAGUUUGGACACCCCUGCAGGGUAUAAUCUUUCGAAAGCCGUGCCUGCGGUUAUAGGCAGAUGGAAAUUUGUUAAUGUCCGGUUGUAGAUAACUUGACACCAGAUCCGAAUUAAAACGCAUCAACCGCGUGUGUAGCCGUGAUGGUCUCUUUUCGGCGGAGUCUGAGAAGUGAACACGGUCUUUGGAUUAUGUUUGAUGUAAGUAGGAGUUCAGGAUCACUUCUUGAUCAUUACUAGUUGACGACCGUUCCGCUUGCUCUGUUCUCGCUCUUAUUUGCGUAUGUUAGCCACCAUAUAUGCUUAGUCGCUGCUGCAACCUCACCACUUUACCCCUUCCUUUUCCCUUUAAGCUUUGCUAGUCUUGAUACCCAUGGUAAUGGGAUUGCUGAGUCCUCGUGGCUCACAGAUUACUACAACAACAGUUGCAGGUACAGGUUAUGCGAUGAUCUUGACGUGAGAGCGAUGCUUGCUUGUUUUGGAGUUCUUCACCUGCUUCUUCUUCGAGCAGGGGAUAGGUUCCAGGUCGGCAGCCUGGGCUAGGAGGGUGGAUGCUGUUUGAGUUUCUGUUUGUGUUUCAUCCGUAGUCGGAUGUUGAUAUUGUGUAUGAUGUAUUGUUGCAUUCGUGUGGCAUUCUAUGCCUCUUGUAUGUAUCCCCAUCUAUUAUGUAAUGUUCAUGUAACGAUAUCCACCUUGCAAAAGCGUUUCAAUAUGCGGGUCUAUCCUUGGUGGGACCUUUGAGUUCCUUUUGGAUAGGGUCGCAUAUUGGGCGUGACAAGUUGGUAUCAGAGCCUCGACCGACCCAUAGGAGCCCCCUUGAUUGUUGGCCGUUGUUGAGUCUAGAAGAAAACUAUUUUGAGUCUUAGGAUUAUAUAUAUCGGAGAGUAGGAAUUCUUUUUACUCCUCAGCCCCUUCGUCGCUCUGGUGAGGUCUCCUGACGUAGAUGUUUUGUCUUUCCUCUCCUCAAAUUUCACUAAAUUUUUUUAGGAUCACGCGGGUAUCUUGGAAUCGUUCCGAUGGUUUUGUGACGAAAACAUUGUUCUUGGUGCCUCCUGUCUAUUAUGUGGCAUUGACCCGGGGAGUUGAGCUCCGAGGUGUUGUCGUCACAAUUUUAUCGUUGCAGUUCUGGAAUACCUGAGUUUUGCCGACAUCGAAAAUCUCUUUUAUGCAGUUGUUGGUGAGAUAACCUCGACAUCACCCAGUACUGGGGAGUUCGGGAGUAUUGCCAUAACUCGUAUAACAGAUGCUUUUCGAAGGUUGAGGUACACGAUUUCCGAAGGUUUCUUGGUUAUGUGUUGACGGAUGGAUACAGCUUGGAUGUAGGUAUUGUUAGUUUGGGUGAGAUAUAUUGCUUCCCCUGUAUCCCCAACACCAGAUUGCAUAACCAGAACGUUUCGGGAGUUUAUAGGUGGGAAUUCAAGUAGCUCCUAGAAUAUCUUUCCGACAGAUGCGUGAUAUGGGAUUGGGUAAAUCUCUAUCAUAUGUAUUUGUUCCGGCUUAUUCUGCAAGCCAAAUCCUUUGUUUUGUUUUAUUUGUGGUAUUCGAGUUGCUUCAAUGUCAAGUGUUGAUUCCAUACCUUUCCUAAGCAGUGUUCUCAUAUUUCUAUGGGAGUACUAAUCCUUUUGAUCAUCGAGAUUGUCAUGUCAAUUUUUUCCAACCGGUGUGCUUCUCCUCAAGUGGAUCCGAUCAUUUUCAACAUCUGCAAGAUCAAUUCUAAGUUUUCUCAACGGUGUUUGUUUCAUCCGUCCCAAGUUAUCUUUGUUUUCCCGCCCUCCCACCCUUUUUCUUCAAGAACUCAUAUAUGUUAAUCAAGUAUGCAUUUAUUCAUGUGAGGUCUCUUCAUUCUUUUCUUUCAAUGUUCUUAUCCGGUGAUUUCCCAUGAAGAUGCUCAACAGUUUCAAGUUCGUAAUUCUUCGUUAUUUUCUUCUCCGGUGGAUCCAAUUCAAGCUUUCAGUGUUCAUCAUAUUCCUUUCCUCGUGUCAAAUGCUUUCUCAUGCCGAUGCACCUCUUAAUCAUUCACUUCUUCCUAUUCAUUUGUCCUGGAGUGCUGAAGAUAUUUCACAAGACUUGUGUUUCCAUUCUCAAUCCGUUCAAGAUAUUUCGAGGUUGUUACCUCAUUCAAGCCAUUUAAUUCAACCGGUGCAAUCUCUCUUCAAAAUCGUUCAACGGUGUUUUCUUUUGAGUGGGCCCUAACCCACAGGUCUUUUUCCAGGAUCUUACCUGACUCUUCUAAUUAUUCCGGAGCCAUUCCUAAUUCUUUUCAAGUUUGACGUAAGAAUGAAUUUCAUCAGUCAGAUCUUUUCCAAGAUCAAUUUCAAAGCAUUUUUCAUUAUUGGCUCAACAUCUUCGCUUGUCAUUCUUCCGGAGUAUCUCAACAAUUUUUGUGGUGUUUCUCGUUGUCAGUUGAAGAUUGAAGAAGUGUUUUUCCUCUAAAUCUUGGCCAUUCUCUUGAAGAUUUAUGGUUCUAGCUUCAUGCCAUCCUCAUAAUUAUUUUUGAUUGUGACAAUUCUUUCCUUACCAUCCGAAGCAUUUCAUAAAUUGUUUUCAUUUCUUUCAUCCGGAGGCCAUCGUUCCAGAAGAAUUCUUCGCCCUCACAUUUCACCUACCAUUAUCAAAUUAUCCCAGUGCUUCGUUCAAGUGCUCUUUAAUCAGCUCAUGAUCUCUUUGUUCUUUUGGAUCUAAAUCCCCUCAAAUAUCUUCAUUCGUUUUCCAAUUCUUCCUGGUGAAUUGUGCCUUUGCUACUUUCAUUUUCAAUUCUUACGGCGGUUCGUUCAAGAUUUCACUUCCUUUGUUAUCAUAUCAAUUUAUUCAUUGUUUCCAAAUCCCACCGGUGGUUCCAUCAAUACCUUCUCAAGUUUGCGGUAUAUCUCUCUUAAUCCUUUCUACGAGAAUAAGUAGUGUGCCAAAUCCAUUGCUUGUCAUCAAUUUAAUUUGAUGAAGGAUAAGCAUACAAUAAAUCUUAUUCUUAUUUCCUCGAGGUGAUUCAAUUCUUUUCUUCCGGAGAUUGUUCAUGAUGAAGUAAUUCUCGGUUCUAGUGUUUCAUCUUUUUCUUUUCCGGAGUUCAAGUUUUCCGCUUUAUCUCAUUGCGAAGCCCCAUUUAAAUCAUCACAAGGUUUCACCUUGUUCUUUCAACUUCUCUUUUCUUUCUUUCAUCCUUUCUUUACUGGAGUUCUCCAUGGAGGCUCUACAUGGUGGUUCAUCAAGUAUUCCUUCCAUUCUUCAAUUGUUCUUCAAGAUUUCUCUCAAACCUAAGAUCCGCCAAGCUAUACUCUAAAAUAAACAUGGUGCUCAACACAUGUUUUGUCUUGAGGAGUUCAAGUAUUCUUUAUCUUGCAUUUUAAAGUGCAAUUCUUUCUACCUUAUCUUUUGAGGUGGUGUUAUGUCACUCUUGACAAUUUCCUUUAUGUUUCAUGAUUCACAUGUUGUCAAGAAUGAGGUAUUCUAAAUCCAUCAAUCUCUUCUCUGGAGUUAUCUUGGUAUAGAUUUCACAUAAAGCCUUCCCUAAGGAAUGUUGCUAUUUGUGGUGCUUAUCAAUGAUCCAAGUUUUCUCCUAUCCUCUUGGCGAAAGCAGUUUUCAUCUCUUCGUUGAUCUCAAGCAAGCAAUUGUUUCAGUUAGUGGCCGUUUGUCACCUCAUAAUUUUGAGAUGUUUUCCAUAAGCCCACUACAAGCUUAUUCGUUUUGUUAUUGGUUUUUUUCCAACAACCCCGUUGUAACCUUCUUGGAAGGGUGCUUUCCAAGCUCAUUUGUGGCAGAAGUUGGCAUUUUCUUCUCCAUUAUGUUAUUCCAAUGAUCUAUCUUCUAUUCUUUCUUCCGGAGGCAUUGUGAUGUUGCUCUUUUCACUCAUCAUCUUGAUUGUGAGGAUCGUGUUUUUUUCGUGCUUAUCCAUUUAACCGGAGUGCUGUGUCAUCUCUUCAAGUUCUUUUCAUCUCAUCAAGUCUUGCAUCUCUUUUCAACCGGAGUGUUGUCCGAAUUUGAUCUUCCUUGUUCCUUGUUUAUCUUGUUUUAACCAGAGUGGUUCCAAUUCUUUCUUGUCCAUUGUACUCGUCAUUCAUAACUUUUCAACCUCUCAAGGUUCGUGGUUUCACUCGUUGGUUGAAGAAGCAACUUAGUUUUACCUCUUCUCUUCCUCGUUCGUUUCUCUCCGGUGCCAUCCUAGAUCUCGGGACGAGAUCCUCUCGUAGUGGUGGAGUGUUGUAACGCCCCGAAUACAACUUUCCAUAUUCGUAACUCCAACUCUUGCCUUUUCCGGAGAUGCGAUAUGAUAUUUCCUUCGUGGUUUGGGUUUUUGUCUGUUGUUUUGCAUUUUGUUCUAGUUAUGCAUCUCGUCUCAUGGCAUCAUGCGCAUUGCAUUUGCAUGUUUUCAUAAAGAUUGCAUCCGUUCGUAGUUGGCGCGUUCCCCCCCUUGCCUUCGUAGACCGUUUCGAGUCCAACCGGGUUCUCGUUCCCCUUUUGUUGGACCGCCAUAUCUCUCUGCCAGUCAUGGACCCCCCCUCCUUUGCAGCCCCCUCGCGUGCGCGUCUGAAACCUUUUCCGAACCCGACCGGAGCAGUCGUCACCGAUGAGUCUGGAUCAUCCCCCAACAUCCCUAAAACAUCUUUGGUUUCUUAUUUGAACUCUCCUAGCCUAUCUAUUCUGAACCUUUGAUCUCGAUCGGAUGUCUGCGAUCUGUCCAAAUCUUGCUCUUCUAAGCCCACCUAGUUGUUGCACAUUCCGGAGUCAUCCGAUCUCGAUCGGAGGGCUCCAAACAGCCCUCGGCCACCCCCUCCUACUAUAUAUGGACACCCUACUCCUCCAUUUUCGGAAACCCUAACCCCUAGCCCUUCUUCCACACUGCCCCACCGCCACUUGGCGCGCAGCCACCGGUCGCGCCGCCAAGCACGCGCCCUGUCUCCCUCCUCGCGUAGGGCCCGCGGAACCCAGAUCGAGGCCCUGGAAGCCCAUCUGUGCCCAAACCGUGCCGCCGCCUGCUCCUCCCGUCGCUCGAACCCUCCACGCGAGCGCCUCCUUGUCCCAAUCCAUGCGCGCCUCGCCGGAGUCCGGCCGCCGGACCAGCUCGUCGGAGCUCUCAACGCCGAGGACCUCCUCCUCGCGCCCUCUCUCUUUCUUCCUCUGCCGUUUCCUCUCUCCCACACAUCUCUCCCUGCAGGAGACUAGCAGCCAUGGACAGCCCCAGGAACUCCCUCAUAGCCGCCUGGAUCUGGCGUCUCGCCGGAGAACGCCGUCCUCGCCCAAAUCCAACCGCCCCUGCUUCCCGUCGCGCCUCCCCGCCUUGGAUUCGGUCGUCCCCGCGACGUUCCUGCCGCCAUGUCCAUGCCAUGGCCUCUGCUUCCUCUUCAUCGAGCAGGAUCAGCCUGCUCGCCUCGCUCCCGUUGACCAGCGCGCGUGGCCAGCCUCCUGGGCCGCUAGCUCCAAGGCCCAGCCGAAGCCAGCCAGCCCCGACCUCCUCCAGCCUCGCGCCCUCUUGGGCCUCCUGCACCGACUGGGCCGAGCCCAUGGGUGAGGCCCCCCAGCCCCUCCAGAUCCGGCCUGUGUCAUAUUUUUUUCCUGUUGCGUUUUUUUCUAUUUUCCAGAGAAACUGCAUAUUUACAGAUUGACCCCUGUUCUUCAUGCAUAUAAUACCUCAUGAACCGUGCAUCAUAUGUAAAUAAUUUAUAUAUGUAAAAUGCUUAGAAUUUUGUGUAGAUUAAUAAUAUGCCACUUUCAUCCAUGUUUAAAAUGUUUAAAAUGUUGUUUCUUUAAAUUUGCCAAUAUGCCAUGUUAAAAUGAUUUAUUUCAUAACUAAAUAACCGUAGCUCCGUUCUAAAUAAACUUUAUAUGUAAAUGGGGUGGAAAAAUGCCUAGUUUAACGUGGUACACUUUGUUUUAUUGUUUAACAAUAAUAAAAUAUGUUUUAGGGCAGAACAGUACCAAAUCUAAAAUAUGCACAUGAGGAUUUUUCGGAAUUGUUGUUUGUUGUUUCCGACCUCAUUUAAACUUGCCUAAAUAGUUAGUUUACUUAUGUUCCACCUCUUUCCAUGUUUACAACAUUUAAUAUUGUUGUGUACCUAAACGAGAGCGAACUAAAUAACUCGAAUGUGGUGUUUCGUCAAUAUGCAACUCGUUGCAUAUUGAGCUCCACUUAAAUUGUAGUAUUGUGUGUUGCAGUUUGCCAUGCCAUGCCUCAUUAAACCGGACAUGCAUCAUACUUGUUUGUGCAUCAUUUCAUGUUUAUGCUUGUGCAUUUACCAUGUUGUUUGUUUCUUUCCAGUGUUGCUUCUUAGUUCCGGUAAUGUUGCGAUUGUGAGGAUUCGUUCGACUACUUCCGUUCGACUUCUUCAUGGACUCGUGCUUCUUCCUAGCGGGAUCUCAGGCAAGAUGACCGCUACCCUGGAUCUCACUACUAUCAUUGCUAUGCUAGUUGCUUCGUUCUAUCGCUUUGCUGCGCUACCUAUCGCUUGCUCUUCCAGCCUCCCUAUUUUGCCAUGUCAGCCUCUAACCUUUUCACCCUUCCUAGCAAACCGUUGCUUGGCUAUGUUACCGCUUUUGCUCAGCCGCUCUUAUAGCGCUGUUAGUUGCAGGUGAAGUUGAAGAUUGCACCAUGAUGGACAGGGUUAUGUUGGGAUAUCACAAUAUCUCUUAUUUUAAUUAAUGCAUCUAUAUACUUGGUAAAGGGUGGAAGGCUCGGCCUUAUGCCUGGUGUUUUGUUCCACUCUUGCCGCCCUAGUUUCCGUCAUACCGGAGUUAUGUUCCCGGAUUUUGCGUUCCUUACGCGGUUGGGUGAUUUAUGGGACCCCCUUGACAGUUCGCUUUGAGUAAAACUCCUCCAGCAAGGCCCAACAUUGGUUUUACCAUUUGCCUCACCUAGCCCUUUUUCCCUUGGGUUUCCGGAGCCCGAGGGUUAUCUUUAUUUUAGCCCCCCCGGGCCAAUGCUUGUCUAAGUGUUGGUCCAAACCAGGCGAUGUCCGGCGCCCCCUGGGCAACCAGGGUCUAUGCCAACUCGUCGUCUUGCUCAUCCGGUGUGCCCUGAGAACGAGAUAUGUGCAGCUCCUAUCGGGAUUUGUCGGCACAUCCGGGCGGCUUUGCUGGUCUUGUUUUACCAUUGUCGAAAUGUCUUGUAAACCGGGAUUCCGAGUCUGAUCGGGUCUUCCUAGGAGAAGAAAUAUCCUUCGUUGAUCGCAAGAGCUUAUCAUGGGCUAAGUUGGGACACCCCUGCAGGGUAUAAUCUUUCGAAAGUCGUGCCUGCGGUUAUAGGCAGAUGGAAAUUUGUUAAUGUCCGGUUGUAGAUAACCUGACACCAGAUCCGAAUUAAAACGCAUCAACCGCGUGUGUAGCCGUGAUGGUCUCUUUUCGGCGGAGUCCGGGAAGUGAACACGGUCUUUGGGUUAUGUUUGACGUAAGUAGGAGUUCAGGAUCACUUCUUGAUCAUUACUAGUUGACGACCGUUCCGCUUGCUCUCUUCUUGCUCUUAUUUGCGUAUGUUAGCCACCAUAUAUGCUUAGUCGCUGCUGCAACCUCACCACUUUACCCCUUCCUUUUCCCUUUAAGCUUUGCUAGUCUUGAUACCCAUGGUAAUGGGAUUGCUGAGUCCUCGUGGCUCACAGAUUACUACAACAACAGUUGCAGGUACAGGUUAUGCGAUGAUCUUGAUGCAAGAGCGAUGCUUGCUUGUUUUGGAGUUCUUCAUCUGCUUCUUCUUCGAUCAGGGGAUAGGUUCCAGGUCGGCAGCCUGGGCUAGCAGGGUGGAUGCCGUUUGAGUUUCUAUUUGUGUUUCAUCCGAAGUCGGAUGUUGAUAUUGUGUAUGAUGUAUUGUUGCAUUCGUGUGGCAUUCUAUGCCUCUUGUAUGUAUCCCCAUCUAUUAUGUAAUGUUGAUGUAAUGAUAUCCACCUUGCAAAAGCGUUUCAAUAUGCGGGUCUAUCCUUGGUGGGACCUUCGAGUUCCUUUUGGAUAGGGUCACAUAUUGGGCGUGACACCCAUUGGGCCUAUUUAGGGGUGAUGCAUGCUAUACCAAACACUGUUGAAAAUAUGCCCUAGAGGCAAUAAUAAAAGGAUUAUUAUUAUAUUUCCUUGUUCAUGAUAAUUGUGUUUAUUCAUGCUAUAAUUGUAUUAUCCGGAAAUCGUAAUACAUGUGUGAAUACAUAGACCACAAUACGUCCCUAGUAAGCCUCUAGUUGACUAGCUCGUUGGUCAACAGAUAGUCAUGGUUUCCUGACUAUGGACAUUAGAUGUCGUUGACAACGUGAUCACAACAUUAGGAGAAUGAUGUGAUGGACAAGACCCAAUCCUAAGCAUAGCACAAGAUCGUGUAGUUCGUUUUGCUAGAGCUUUUCCAAAUGUCAAGUAUCUCUUCCUUAGGCCAUGAGAUCGUGUAACUCCCGGAUGCCGUAGGAGUGCUUUGGGUGUACCAAACGUCACAACGUAACUGGGUGACUAUAAAGGUGCACUACAGGUAUCUCCGGAAGUGUCUGUUGGGUUGACACGGAUCGAGGCUGGGAUUUGUCACUCCGUAUAACGGAGAGGUAUCACUGGGCCCACUCGGUAGUGCAUCAUCAUAAUGAGCUCAAAGUGACCAAGUGUCUGGUCAUGGGAUCAUGCAUUACGGUACGAGUAAAGUGACUUGCCGGUAACAAGAUUGAACGAGGUAUUGGGAUACUGACGAUCGAAUCUCGGGCAAGUAACAUACCGUCUGACAAAGGGAAUAGUAUACUGGGUUACUUGAAUCCUCGACAUCGUGGUUCAUCCGAUGAGAUCAUCGAGGAGUAUGCGGGAGCCAACAUGGGUAUCCAGAUCCCGCUGUUGGUUCUUGACCGGAGAGCCGUCUCGGUCAUGUAUGCAUGUCUCCCGAACCUGUAGGGUCUAUACACUUAAGGUUCGGUGAUGCUAGGGUUGUAUGAAUAUGAGUAUGCAGCAAACCGAAUGUUGUUCGGAGUCCCGGAUGAGAUCCCGGACGUCACGAGGAGUUCUAGAAUGGUCCGAAGGUAAAGAAUUAUAUAUAGGAAGUGCCGUUUCGGCCAUCGGGAAAGUUUCGGCGUCACCCGGUAUUGUACCGGGACCACCGGAUGGGUCCCGGGGGUCCACCGGGUGGGGCCACCUAUCCCGGAGGGCCCCGUGGGCUGAAGUGGGAGGGGGAACCAGCCCCUAGUGGGCUGGUGCCCCCCCUUGGCCCCCCUGCACCUAGGGCUGGAAACCCUAGGUGGGAGGGGGGGCGCACCACUUGCCUUGGGGGGCACUCCACCCCCUGGCCGCCGCCCCCUUGGGAGAUUGCAUCUCCCAGGGCCGGCGCCCCCCCUGGGGGCCUAUAUAAAGGAGGGCAAGGGGGAGGGCAGCCGCACCCUGUGAAUUGGCGCCUCCCUCCCCCUGCUACACCUCUUCCUCCUCUCGCAGCAGCUUGGCGAAGCCCUCUCGGAGUUCUGCUGCAUCCACCACCACGCCGUUGUGCUGCUGGAUCAUCAUCAACCUCUCCUUCCCCCUUGCUGGAUCAAGAAGGAGGAGACGUCAUCCGCUCCAUACGUGUGUUGAACGCGGAGGUGCUGUCCGUUCGGCACUUGGUCAUCGGUGAUUUGAAUCACGGCGAGUACGACUCCAUCAUCACCGUUCUCUUGAACGCUUCCGCACGCGAUCUACAAAGUGGUAUGUAGAUGCAAUCUCUCUCCCAUGACUCGUUGCUUAGAUGAACUCAUAGAUGGAUCUUGGUGAAACCGUAGGAAAUUUUUUAAUUUUCUGCAACAUUCCCCAAUAGUGGCAUCAUGAGCUAGGUCUAUGCGUAGUUCUCUAUUGCACAAGUAGAACACAAAUUUGUUGUGGGCGUAGAUCUUGUCAACUUGCUUGCCGCUACUAGUCUUUUCUUGCUUCAGUGGUAUUGUGGGAUGAAGCGGCCCGGACCGACCUUACACGUACGCUUACGUGAGACAGGUUCCACUGACUGACAUGCACUAGUUGCAUAAGGUGGCUAGCGGGUGUCUGUCUCUCCCACUUUAGUUGGAGCGGAUUCGACGAAAAGGGUCCUUAUGAAGGGUAAAUAGAAGUUGACAAAAUCACAUUGUGGUUAUUCGUAGGUAAGAAAACGUUCUUGCUAGAACCCAAUUGCAGCCACGUAAAAGAUGCAACAACAAUUAGAGGACGUCUAACUUGUUUUUGCAGCAAUUGUCAUGUGAUGUGAUAUGGCCAGAAGUUGUGAUGAAUGAUGAAUGAUAUAUUGUGAUGUAUGAGAUCAUGUUCUUGUAAUAGGAAUCCCGACGUGCAUGUCGAUGAGUAUGACAACCGGCAGGAGCCAUAGGAGUUGUCUUUAUUUUGUAUGACCUGCGUGUCAUUGAAGAACGCCAUGUAAAUUACUUUACUUUAUUGCUAAACGCGUUAGCCAUAGAAGUAGAAGUAGUCGUUGGCGUGACAACUUCAUGAAGACACGAUGAUGGAGAUCAUGGUGUCAUGCCGGUGACGAAGAUGAUCAUGGAGCCUUGAAGAUGGAGAUCAAAGGAGCUAUAUGAUAUUGGCCAUAUCAUGUCACUAUUAUAUAAUUGCAUGUGAUGUUUAUUAUGUUUAUGCAUCUUGUUUACUUAGAACGAUGGUAGUAAAUAAGAUGAUCAAGAAAGUGUUCCCCCUAACUGUGCGCCAUUGCUAAAGUUCGUCGUUUCGAAGCACCACGUGAUGAUCGGGUGUGAUAGAUCCUUACGUUCACAUACAACGGGUGUAAGACAGUUUUACACACGCAUAAACACUUAGGGUUAACUUGACGAGCCUAGCAUGUACAAACAUGGCCUCGGAACACGAGAGACCGAAAGGUCGAACAUGAGUCGUAUGGAAGAUACGAUCAACAUGGAGAUGUUCACCGACGAUGACUAGUCCGUCUCACGUGAUGAUCGGACACGGCCUAGUCGACUCGGAUCGUGUAAACACUUAGAUGACUAGAGGGAUGUCAAUCUGAGUGGGAGUUCAUUAAAUAAUUUGAUUGGAUGAACUUAAUUAUCAUGAACUUAGUCUAAAGUCUUUGCAAAAAUAUGUCUUGUAGAUCAAAUGGCCAACGCUCAUGUCAACAUGAACUUCAACGCGUUCCUAGAGAAAACCAAGCUGAAAGAUGAUGGCAGCAACUAUUCGGACUGGGUCCGGAACCUGAGGAUCAUCCUCAUAGCAGCCAAGAAAGAUUAUGUCCUAGAAGCACCGCUAGGUGAAGCACCCAUCCCAGAGAACCAAGACGUUAUGAACACUUGGCAAUCACGUGCUAAUGAUUACUCCCUCAUUCAGUGCGGCAUGCUUUACAGCUUAGAACCGGGGCUCCAAAAGCGUUUUGAGAAACACGGAGCAUAUGAGAUGUUCAAGGAGCUGAAAAUGGUUUUCCAAGCUCAUGCCCGGGUCGAGAGAUAUGAAGUCUCCGACAAGUUCUAUAGUUGUAAGAUGGAGGAAAACAGUUCUGUCAGUGAGCACAUACUCAAAAUGUGUGGGUUGCACAACCGCCUGUCCCAGCUGGAGAUCAACCUCCCGGACGAGGCGGUCAUUGACAGAAUCCUUCAGUCGCUCCCACCGAGCUAUAAGAGCUUUGUGCUGAACUACAAUAUGCAGGGGAUGGUGAAGACCAUUCCUGAAGUAUUUUCAAUGCUGAAGUCGGCAGAGGUUGAAAUCAAGAAAGAACAUCAAGUGUUGAUGGUCAAUAAGACCACUAAGUUCAAGAAGGGCAAGGGUAAGAAGAACUUCAAGAAGGAUGGCAAAGAUGUUGCCGCGCGCGGUAAGCCGGCUGCCGAGAAGAAGUCAAAGAAUGGACCCAAGCCUAAAACUGAGUGCUUUUAUUGCAAAGGGAAGGGUCACUGGAAGCGGAACUGCCCCAAAUACUUAGCGGGCAAGAAGGCCGGCAACACUAAAGGUAUAUGUGAUAUACAUGUAAUUGAUGUGUACCUUACCAGUACUCGUAGUAACUCCUGGGUAUUUGAUACCGGUGCCGUUGCUCAUAUUUGUAACUCACAGCAGGAGCUGCGGAAUAAGCGGAGACUGGCGAAGGACGAGGUGACGAUGCGCGUCGGGAAUGGUUCCAAGGUCGAUGUGAUCGCCGUCGGCACGCUACCUCUACAUUUACCCACGGGAUUAGUUAUGAACCUCAAUAAUUGUUAUUUAGUGCCAAGUUUGAGCAUGAACAUUGUAUCUGGAUCUCGUUUAAUACGAGAUGGCUACUCAUUUAAAUCCGAGAAUAAUGGUUGUUCUAUUUAUAUGAGAGAUAUGUUUUAUGGUCAUGCCCCAAUGGUCAAUGGUUUAUUCUUAAUGAAUCUCGAACGUAAUGUUACACAUAUUCAUAGUGUGAAUACCAAAAGAUGUAAAGUUGAUAAUGAUAGUCCCACAUACUUGUGGCACUGCCGCCUUGGUCACAUUGGUGUCAAGCGCAUGAAGAAGCUCCAUGCUGAUGGACUUUUAGAGUCUCUCGAUUAUGAAUCAUUUGACACAUGUGAACCAUGCCUCAUGGGUAAGAUGAUCAAGACUCCGUUCUCCGGAACAAUGGAACGAGCAACCAACUUAUUGGAAAUCAUACAUACCGAUGUGUGCGGUCCAAUGAGCGUUGAGGCUCGCGGAGGAUAUCGUUAUGUUCUCACUCUCACUGAUGACUUGAGUAGAUAUGGGUAUGUCUACUUGAUGAAACACAAGUCUGAGACCUUUGAAAAGUUCAAGGAAUUUCAUAAUGAAGUAGAGAAUCAACAUGACCGAAAGAUAAAAUUCUUACGAUCGGAUCGUGGAGGAGAAUAUUUAUGUCAUGAAUUUGGUACACACUUAAGAAAAUGUGGAAUCGUUUCACAACUCACGCCGCCUGGAACACCUCAGUAAUGGUGUGUCCGAACGUCGUAAUCACACUCUAUUGGAUAUGGUGCGAUCUAUGAUGUCUCUUACCGAUUUACCGCUACCAUUUUGGGGAUACGCUCUAGAGACAGCUACAUUCACUUUAAAUAGGGCACCGUCUAAAUCCGUUGAGACGACACCGUAUGAAUUAUGGUUUGGGAAGAAACCUAAGCUGUCGUUUCUAAAAGUUUGGGGAUGCGAUGCUUAUGUCAAGAAACUUCAACCUGAAAAGCUCGAACCCAAGUUGGAAAAAUGCGUCUUCAUAGGAUACCCUAAGGAAACCAUUGGGUAUACCUUCUACCUUAGAUCCGAAGGCAAGAUCUUUGUUGCCAAGAACGGAUCCUUUCUGGAAAAAGAGUUUCUCUCGAAAGGAGUAAGUGGGAGGAAAGUAGAACUCGAUGAAGUACUACCUCUUGAACCGGAAAGUAGUGCAGCUCAGGAAAAUGUUCCAGUGGUGCCUACGCCGACUGGAGAGGAAAUUAAUGAUGACGAUCAAGGUACUUCGGAUCAAGUUGCUACUGAACUUCGUAGGUCCACAAGGACACGUUCCACACCAGAGUGGUAUGGCAACCCUGUCCUGGAAAUCAUGUUGUUAGACAACGGUGAACCUUCGAACUAUGAAGAAGCGAUGGCGGGCCCAGAUUCCAACAAAUGGCUAGAAGCCAUGCAUCCGAGAUAGAAUCCAUGUAUGAAAACAAAGUAUGGACUUUGACUGACUUGCCCGAUGAUCGGCGAGCGAUAGAAAACAAAUGGAUCUUUAAGAAGAAGACGGACGCGGAUGGUAAUGUCACCAUCUAUAAAGCUCGACUUGUCACUAAGGGUUAUCGGCAAGUUCAAGGGAUUGACUAUGAUGAGACUUUCUCUCCCGUAGCGAAGCUUAAUUCCGUCCGAAUCAUGUUAGCAAUUGCCGCAUACUAUGAUUAUGAGAUAUGGCAGAUGGACGUCAAAACGGCAUUCCUUAACGGUUAUCUUAAGGAAGAGCUGUAUAUGAUGUAGCCGGAAGGUUUUGUCGAUCCUAAGAAUGCUAACAAAGUAUGCAAGCUCCAGCGAUCCAUUUAUGGGCUGGUGCAAGCAUCUCGGAGUUGGAACAUUCGCUUUGAUGAGAUGAUCAAAGCGUUUGGGUUUAUGCAGACUUACGGAGAAGCCUGCGUUUACAAGAAAGUGAGUGGGAGCUCUGUAGCAUUUCUCAUAUUAUAUGUAGAUGACAUACUUUUGAUGGGAAAUGAUAUAGAAUUCUUGGACAGCAUUAAGGCCUACUUGAAUAAGUGUUUUUCAAUGAAGGACCUUGGAGAAGCUGCUUACAUAUUAGGCAUCAAGAUCUAUAGGGAUAGAUCGAGAUGCCUCAUAGGUCUUUCACAAAGCACAUACCUUGAUAAGAUUUUGAAGAAGUUCAAAAUGGAUCAGUCCAAGAAGUGGUUCUUGCCUGUAUUGCAAGGUGUGAAAUUGAGCGCGGCUCAAUGUCCGACCACGGCAAAAGAUAAAGAAGAGAUGAGUGUCAUCCCCUAUGCCUCAGCCAUAGGAUCUAUUAUGUAUGCCAUGCUGUGUACCAGACCUAAUGUAAACCUUGCCAUAAGUUUGAUAGGAAGGUACCAAAGUAAUCCCGGCAAGGAACACUGGACAGCGGCAAGAAUAUCCUGAAGUACCUGAAAAGGACAAAGGACAUGUUUCUCGUUUAUGGAGGUGACGAAGAGCUCGUCGUAAAGGGUUAUGUCGACGCUAGCUUCGACAGAUCUGGAUGACUCUAAGUCACAAACCGAAUACGUGUAUGUGUUGAAUGGUGGAGCAGUAAGCUGGUGCAGCUGCAAGCAGAGCGUCGUGGUGGGAUCUACAUGUGAAGCGGAGUACAUGGCAGCCUUGAAGGCAGCGCAUGAAGCAAUUUGGGUGAAGGAGUUCAUCACCGACCUAGGAGUCAUACCCAAUGCGUCGGGGCCGAUCAAGCUCUUCUGUGACAACACUGGAGCUAUUGCCCUUGCCAAGGAGCCCAGGUUUCACAAGAAGACCAGGCACAUCAAGCGUCGUUUCAACUCCAUCCGUGAAAAUGUUCAAGAUGGAGACAUAGAUAUUUGCAAAGUACAUACGGAUCUGAAUGUCGCAGAUCCGUUGACUAAACCUCUUUCGCGAGCAAAACAUGAUCAACACCAGAACUCUAUGGGUGUUCGAUUCAUCACAAUGUAACUAGAUUAUUGACUCUAGUGCAAGUGGGAGACUGUUGGAAAUAUGCCCUAGAGGCAAUAAUAAAAGGAUUAUUAUUAUAUUUCCUUGUUCAUGAUAAUUGUCUUUAUUCAUGCUAUAAUUGUAUUAUCCGGAAAUCGUAAUACACGUGUGAAUACAUAGACCACAAUACGUCCCUAGUAAGCCUCUAGUUGACUAGCUCAUUGGUCAACAGAUAGUCAUGGUUUCCUGACUAUGGACAUUAGAUGUCGUUGACAAUGGGAUCACAUCAUUAGGAGAAUGAUGUGAUGGACAAGACCCAAUCCUAAGCAUAGCACAAGAUCGUGUAGUUCGUUUUGCUAGAGCUUUUCCAAAUGUCAAGUAUCUCUUCCUUAGACCAUGAGAUCGUGUAACUCCCGGAUGCCGUAGGAGUGCUUUGGGUGUACCAAACGUCACAACGUAACUGGGUGACUAUAAAGGUGCACUACAGGUAUCUCCAAAAGUGUCUGUUGGGUUGACACGGAUCGAGACUGGGAUUUGUCACUCCGUAUAACGGAGAGGUAUCACUGGGCCCACUCGGUAGUGCAUCAUCAUAAUGAGCUCAAAGUGACCAAGUGUCUGGUCACGGGAUCAUGCAUUAUGGUACGAGUAAAGUGACUUGCCGGUAACGAGAUUGAACGAGGUAUUGGGAUACCGACGAUCGAAUCUCGGACAAGUAACAUACCGUCUGACAAAGGGAAUAGUAUACGGGGUUACUUGAAUCCUCGACAUCGUGGUUCAUCCGAUGAGAUCAUCGAGGAGUAUGUGGGAGCCAACAUGGGUAUCUAGAUCCCGCUGUUGGUUAUUGACCGGAGAGCCGUCUCGGUCAUGUCUGCGUGUCUCCCGAACCCGUAGGGUCUACACUCUUAAGGUUCGGUGAUGCUAGGGUUGUAUGAAUAUGAGUAUGCAGCAAACCAAAUGUUGUUUGGAGUCCCAUAUGAGAUCCCGGACGUCACGAGGAGUUCCGAAAUGGUCCGGAGGUAAAGAAUUAUAUAUAGGAAGUGCUGUUUCGGCCAUCGGGAAAGUUUCGGGGUCACCCGGUAUUGUACCGGGACCACCGAAAGGGUCCCGAGGGUCCACCGGGUGGGGCCACCUAUCCCGGAGGGCCCCGUGGGCUGAAAUGGGCGGGGUAACCAGCCCCUAGUGGGCUGGUGCGCCCCCCCUUGGGCCCCCCUACGCCUAGGGCUGGAAACCCUAGGUGGGGGGCGCACCACUUGCCUUGGGGGGCACUCCACCCCCCUGGCUGCCGCCCCCUUGGGAGAUUGCAUCUCCCAGGGACGGCCCCCCCUGAGGGCCUAUAUAAAGGAGGGCAAGGGGGAGGGCAGCCGCACCCUGUGCAUUGGCGCCUCCCUCCCCCUGCUACACCUCUUCCUCCUCCCGCAGCAGCUUGGCGAAGCCCUGCCGGAGUUCUGCUGCAUCCACCACCAUGCUGUUGUGCUGCUGGAUCAUCAUCAACCUCUCCUUCCCCCUUGCUGGAUCAAGAAGGAGGAGACGUCAUCCGCUCCGUACGUGUGUUGAACGCGGAGGUGUUGUCCGUUCGGCACUUGGUCAUCGGUGAUUUGAAUCACGGCGAGUACGACUCCAUCAUCACCGUUCUCUUGAACGCUUCCGCACGCGAUCUACAAAGUGGUAUGUAGAUGCAAUCUCUCUCCCAUGACUCGUUGCUUAGAUGAAAUCAUAGAUGGAUCUUGGUGAAACCGUAGGAAAUUUUUUAAUUUUUUGCAACGUUCCCCAACAAACACACAACUAGUGUUUUUUUGGGUUGUUCGUCCGGCACCAUUGCCGAUAACCAAACGUAUGUAAGCCAAUCUUCCUAGGGCAAACAUGCACCAUUUGGAUGCAACUAUUGUUGAAGUUUUUUUCCAAGGGUACCCUUCUUCUUCUUUUUUUUUGAAGCUAAAACAUCCUCCAGCUCUUUAUUCAUUAGGCGCUAGCAUGUCUGACUGCAAACAAUCAACUAGCCAUCCAGGGAUAGUUUCAUACAAGUACAUAAAACCAGAAAGUUUUAACAAGUGCCUAGCUAGACGGUGUGCCACCACAUUAGUACGACGACAAGAAAACCAUAGCCUAAAUCCCUGAAACAAAGUAGACAUCUCCUUCAUCUCCCUAAUGAGAUGAAAACAUGUCAAUCCCUGAGGUACCUCCCAGAGCCUCUGGAUUUCGUGACAGUCCGUCUCCAACACAACUUGCUGAAGGCCCAUGUCCGGCGCCAAUUAUCGCAUCUCUGCAUGCAAGUAGUUCAAUGGAUAAAGGGUCUGUUUCCCCAUCGUACCUUGAGCCUCCAUCUCUAACGGAAGCUCCCUGAUGGUCUCGGGCAAUGAAGCCUGCUCCUCCGCGUAUAAGACACAUGUCCGUAGAUCCAUCAGUGUUGAUCUUUAUCCAUCCCUCCUCCGGUGGCAACCACCUCGGGGGGACAUCAACUUGAGUCUUCUCCUUCUCCGGGAUCUCAAGUGCCCGGACAAUCUCCUCGAUAAUCACCAUGGAUUUCACUGGUUGAUACCCUUCUUUCAAAUACCCUAUAUUUUCCCUCUAUAAAUCAAUAGUAUUAAAUUAUUUGGAGUACCCCCGCAAAACAAUAAUAAUAAUUGGCGUGCAGUUUACCCAAUGUUGUUUUCUUGAUACCAUGGUUUCUUUGAGAUAUUGAAAAAAUGUAUUGCCGACCUCCUUUUCAUGAACCGACAAACAAUCGCGCUCUCCUAAUGCUUCGCUUGGUUUCUAGAUCUAAUGACUGUUGUGUGGGAAUAGCAAAUCGAGGUCACCAUCUUUUCACCCGCAAAAAAGAAGUCACCAUCUUCCCCUUGUACACAUUCUUCUACCAUGUGAUAUGGAUGUUUGGUGGUUUCUGGUGGGUUGCAGUUGAGAGCUUUUUUCGAUUACGCUUUGAGUGUAGUUUGCAUGAAGACAUUUGAAAGGAUCGAUAUAGUUGACUAGAGGGGGGGGGGUGAAUAGGCAACUAACAAUUUUUAGUUUUUCUUUACCAAAUUUAACUUUCCAUCAAAGUAGGUUGUCUAGAUAUGCAACUAGGUGAGCAACCUAUAUGAUGCAACAACAAUAAGCACACAAGCAAGCAAGGAUAGAGCACAAUAAAGCUUGCACAAGUAAAGGUGAGAGAUAACCAAAAGGGGAAACGAUGGGGACGAGGAUGUGUUACCGAAGUUCCUUCCUUUUGAGGGAAAGUACGUCUCCGUUAGAGUGAUGUGGAUGCACAAUGCUCCCCGAGAAGCCACUAGGGCCGCCGUAUUCUCCUCACGCCCUCACACAAUGCGAGAUGCUAUGAUUCCACUAUUGGUGCCCUUGGAGGCGGCGAACAAACCUUUACAAACAAGGUUGGGGCAAUCUCCACAACUUAAUUGGAGGCUCCCAAUGACACCAUGAAGCUUCACCACAAUGGAUUAUGGCUCCGCGGUGACCUCAACCGUCUAGGGUCCUCAAACACCCAAGAGUAACAAGAUCCGCAAGGGAUUAGUGGGGGGAAUCAAAUUUCUCUUGGUGGAAGUGUAGAUCGGGGCCUUCUCAACCAAUCCCUAGAAAAUCAACAAGUUUGAUUGGCUAGGGAGAGAGAUCGAGCGAAAAUGGUGCUUGGAGCAACAAUGGAGCUUGGGGAUGGAAGAGGUGAGUCUUCUUGGAGAAGAAGACCCCUUUAUAUAGUGGGGGGACACAUCCAACCGUUAUGCAGCCCGCAACCCGCAUCUGGGCGGUACUACCGUUGUAGGAGCGGUAGUACCGCUGCCACAGCGGUACUAUCGCUAUGGCAAGCAGGCAUAAGGCAACCAGGGCUAAGGGAGAAGAAGUACACGCACUAGGACGGUACUACCGCUAUGAGGGCGGUACUACCGCCGAUAAGCGGUACUGCCGCUCCCUAUAGCCGCUGGAAAACAGGCGAGGGCAGCGAGCUGAGCGGCAGUUGGAACGGACAUAGGAGCGGUACUACCAUUGAUAAGUGAUACUAUCGUGACCUACUGCCGUUCCUACUACCGCUCCCCUGCGUGGUCUGAUACGUCCAUUAUGCAUCAUACUUUUAUAUCGAUAUUUAUUGCAUUAUGGGCUGUUAUUACACGUUAUGUCACAAUACUUAUGGCUAUUCUCUCUUAUUUUACAAGGUUUAUCAUGAAGAGGGAGAAUGCCGGCAGCUGGGAUUCUGGGCGGGAAAAGGAGCAAUAUUGGAGACCUAUUCUGCACAGCUCCAAAAGUCCUAAAACUCCACGAAAGUCAUUUUUGGAAUUAAUGAUAAUUAUUGAGCGGAAGAAGUACAAGAGGGGGCCCACACCUUUGCCACGAGGGUGGGGGGCGCGUCCCCUGCCUCGUGGGCCCCCUGGUGGCCCUAUGGUGCCCAUCUUCUGCUAUAUGAAGUCUUCUACCUUGAAAAAAAAUCAUAAGCAAGCUUACGAGACGAAACUCCGCCGCCACGAGGCGGAACCAAUCUAGGGCUCCGGCGGAGCUGUUCUGCCGGGGAAACUUCCCUCCGGGAGGGGGAAAUCAUCACCAUCGUCAUCACCAACGAUCCUCUCAUCAGGAGGGGGUUAAUGUCCAUCAACAUCUUCACUAGCACCAUCUCCUCUUGUAUCCAAGCUUUGUAUCCAAACCUCAGAUUGGUACCUGUGGGUUGCUAGUAGUGUUGAUUACUCCUUGUAGUUGAUGCUAGUUGGUUUAUUUGGUGGAAGAUCAUAUGUUCAGAUCCUUAAUACAUAUUAAUACCCCUCUGAUUAUCAACAUGAAUAUGCUUUGUGAGUAGUUACGUUUGUUCCUGAGGACAUCGGAGAAGUCUUGCUAUUAGUAGUCAUGUGAAUUUGGUAUUCGUUCGAUAUUUUGAUGAGAUGUAUGUUGUCUCUCCUCUAGUGGUGUUAUGUGAACGUCGACUACAUGACACUUCACCAUUAUUUGGGCCUAGAGGAAGGCAUUGGGAAGUAAUAAGUAGAUGAUGGGUUGCUAGAGUGACAGAAGCUUAAACUCUAGUUCAUGCGUUGCUUCGUAAGGGGCUGAUUUGGAUCUAUAUGUCUCAUGCUAUGGUUAGGUUUACCUUAAUACUUCUUUUGUAGCUGCAGAUGCUUGCAAUAGGGGUUAAUCAUAAGUGGGAUGCUUGUCCAACAAAUGGCAGUACCCAAGCACCGGUCCACCCACAUAUCAAAUUAUCAAAGUAACGAACGCGAAUCAUAUGAGCGUGAUGAAAACUAGCUUGACGAUAAUUCUCAUGUUUCCUCGGGAGCGCUUUUCUCAUUAUAAGAACUUGUCCAGGCUUGUCCUUUGCUACAAAAAGGAUUGGGCCACCUUGCUGCACCUUAUUUACUUUCAUUGCUUGUUGCCCAUUACAAAUUAUCUUAUCACAAAACUAUCUGUUACCUACAAUUUCAGUGCUUGCAGAGAAUACCUUACUCAAAACCGCUUGUCAUUUCCUUCUGCUCCUCGUUGGGUUCGACACUCUUACUUAUCAAAAGGACUAGAUAGAUCCCCUAUACUUGUGGGUCAUCAAGACUCUUUUCUGGCGCCAUUGCCGGGGAGUGAAGCGCCUUUGGUAAGUGGAACUUGGUAAGGAAACAUUUAUAUAGUGUGCUGAAAUUUUCUGUCACUUGUUACUAUGGAAACUAAUCCUUUGAGGGGCUUGUUCGGGGCAUCUUCGCCUCGACCAGUAGAGCAAAGAGUUACUCCUCAACCUACUGAACCUACUGAAAACAUUUACUUUGAAAUUCCUUUGGGUAUGGUAGAGAAACUGCUAGCUAAUCCCUUUGUAGGAGAUGGAACAUUGCAUCCCAAUUUACACCUUAUCUAUGUGGAUGAAGUUUGUGGAUUAUUUAAGCUUGCAUGUAUGCCCGAUGAUGUUAUUAAGAGGAAGGUCUUCCGUUUAUCUUUGAAGGGAGAUGCAUUGACAUGGUAUAGGCUAUGUGAUGAUACGGGAUCUUGGGACUAUAAACGAUUGAAAUUGGAAUUUCACCAGAAGUUCUAUCCUAUGCAUCUUGUUCAUCGUGAUCGUAAUUAUAUAUAUAAUUUUUGGCCUCGCAAAGGAGAAAGCAUAACUCAAGCUUGGGGGAGGCUUAAGUCAAUGUUAUAUUCAUGCCCCAAUCAUGAUCUCUCAAGAGAAAUGAUUAUUCAUAAUUUUUAUGCUCGGCUUUCUCUCAAUGAUCGCACCAUGCUUGAUACUUCUUGUGCUGGUUCCUAUAUGCUUAAGACUAUCGAAUUCAAGUGGGAUUUAUUGGAAAGAAUUAAACGCAACUCUGAAGAUUGGGGUUCCGACGAUGGUAAGGAGUCAGGUAUGAAACCUAAGUUUGAUUGUGUUAAGUCUUUUAUGGAUACCGAUGCUUUUUGUGGAUUUAACACUAAAUAUGGACUUGACUCUGAGAUAGUAGCUUCUUUAUGUGAAUCUUUUGCUACUCAUGUUGAUCUCCCUAAGGAGAAGUGGUUUAAAUAUAAUCCUCCCACUGAAGUAAAAAUAGUUGCACCUAUUAUAGUUGAAGAAAAUACUAUCACUUAUAAUGAUCCUAUUGUUCCUACUACUUAUGUUGAGAACCCACCUUUUCCUGUUAGGAUAAAGGAUCAUGCUAAAGCUUCAACUGUUGUUCGUAAGAGUAAUACUAGAACAUAUACACCUCCUGAGCAAAUUAAAGUUGAACCUAGUAUUGCUAUGGUUAAAGAUCCCUUGGCUGAUAAUAUUGAUGGGCAUGUUAUUUAUUUCUGUGAGGAAGCUGCUAAUAUUGCUAGACCCGAUGCUUAGAUACAUCGACCUGUCGUAGGCAUGCCUGUUAUUUCUGUUAAAAUAGGAGAUCAUUGUUAUCAUGGCUUAUGUGAUAUGGGUGCUAGUGCAAGUGCAAUACCUAUUUCCUUAUAUCAAGAAAUUAUGCAUGAUAUUGCACCCGCUAAAAUAGAAGAUAUUGAUGUUACUAUUAAGCUUGCAAAUAGAGAUACUAUUUCACCAAUAGGGAUUGUUAGAGAUGUUGAAGUCUUGGGUAGGAAAGUUAAAUAUCCUGCUGAUUUUCUUGUUCUUGGUUCCCCACAAGAUAGCUUUUGUCCCAUUAUAUUUGGUAGACCCUUCUUGAAUACUGUUAAUGCUAAGAUUGAUUGUGAAAAGGAUGUUGUUUACAAUUGGCUUGGGGGAUAUGAAACAUGAGUUUAAUUUUGCUAAGUUUCGUAGACAAACCCAUGAUAAAGAAUUGCCUAGUAAGGAUGACAUUAUUGGCCUUGCUUCUAUUGCCGUGCCUCCUACUGAUCCGUUAGAACAAUAUUUGCUAGACAAUGAAAAUGAUAUGUUUAUGAAUGAAAGAAGGGAAAUAGAUGAAGUAUUCUUUAAACAGGGUCCUAUUUUGAAACACAAUUUACCUGUUGAAAUCCUAGGGGAUCCCCCUCCACCCAAGGGUGAUCCUGUGUUUGAGCUUAAACCUUUACCUGAUAAUCUUAAAUAUGCUUAUCUUGAUGAAAAGAAGAUAUAUCCUGUUAUUAUUAGUGCUAACCUUUCAGAGCAGGAAGAGGAAAGAUUAUUGAAAACUCUGAAGAAGCAUCAUGCUGCUAUUGGAUAUACUCUGGAUGAUCUUAAGGGCAUUAGUCCCACUCUAUGCGAACACAAAAUUAAGUUGGACGAAGACGCCAAACCAGUUAGAGAUCAUCAACGAUGGUUAAAUCCUAACAUGAAAGAAGUGGUAAGAAAGGAAAUACUAAAGCUCCUUGAGGCAGGUAUAAUUUAUCCCGUUGCUGAUAGCGAGUGGGUAAGUCCUGUCCAUUGUGUCCCUAAGAAGGGAGGUAUUACUGUAGUCCCUAAUGAUAAAGAUGAAUUGAUCCCGCAAAUAAUUAUUACAGGUUAUAGGAUGGUAAUUGAUUUUCGUAAAUUAAAUAAAGCUACUAAGAAAGAUCAUUACCCUUUACCUUUUUAUUGAUCAAAUGCUAGAAAGAUUAUCCAAACAUACACAUUUCUACUUUCUAGAUGGUUAUUCUGGUUUCUCUCAAAUACCUAUGUCAGUGGACGAUCAAGCAAAGACUACUUUUACUUGCCCUUUCGUUACUUUUGCUUAUAGAUGUAUGCCUUUUGGUUUAUGUAAUGCACCUGCUACCUUUCAAAGAUGCAUUAUGGCUAUAUUCUCUAACUUUUGUGAAAAGAUUUGUGAGGUGUUCAUGGAUGAUUUCUACGUUUAUGGAUCCUCUUUUGAUGAUUGUUUGAGCAACCUUGAUCGAGUUUUGCAGAGAUGCGAAGACACUAGUCUCAUCUUGAAUUGAGAAAAGUGCCACUUUAUGGUUAAUGAAGGCAUUGUCUUGGGGCAUAAAAUUUCUGAAAGAGGUAUCAAAGUUGAUCAAUCUAAAGUUGAUGCUAUUGAAAAGAUGUCGUGUCCCAAGGACAUUAAAGGUAUAAGAAGUUUCCUUGGUCAUGCUGGUUUUUAUAGAAGGUUCAUUAAGGACUUUCCUAAAGUCUCUAGGUCUCUGACUAAUUUAUUGCAAAAAGAUAUUCCUUUUGUCUUCGAUGAUGAUUGUGUAGAAGCAUUUGAAAUACUUAAGAAAGCUUUGAUCACUGCACCUAUGAAUUUACCUUUUGAAAUUAUGUGUGAUGCUAGCGAUUAUGCUGUAGGUGCUGUUUUAGGACAAAGAGUUGAUAAGAAAUUAAAUGUUAUUCAAUAUGCUAGUAAAACUCUAGACACUGCCUAGAGAAAUUAUGCUACUACUGAAAAAGAAUUCUUAGUAGUUGUAUUUGCUUGUGAUAAGUUCAGACCUUAUAUUGUUGAUUCUAAAGUAACUAUUCACACUGAUCAUGCUGCUAUUAAAUACCUUAUGGAAAAGAAAGAUGCUAAACCUAGACUUAUUAGAUGGGUUCUCUUGCUCCAAGAAUUUGAUUUGCAUAUUAUUGAUAGAAAGGGAGCUGAGAAUGUUGGAAAUAUGCCCUAGAGGCAAUAGUAAAAUGGUUAUUAUUAUAUUUCCUUGUUCAUGAUAAUUGUCUAUUAUUCAUGCUAUAAUUGUAUUGCCCGGAAACCGCAAUACAUGUGUGAAUAUGUAGACCACAACAUGUCCCUAGUGAGCCUCUAGUUGACUAGCUCGUUGAUCAACAGAUGGUCAUGGUUUCCUGACUAUGGACAUUGGAUGUCAUUGAUAACGGGAUCACAUCAUUAGGAGAAUGAUGUGAUGGACAAGACCCAAUCCUAAGCAUAGCACAAGAUCGUGUAGUUCGUUUGCUAAAGCUUUUCUAAUGCCAAGUAUCAUUUCCUUAGACCAUGAGAUUGUGUAGCUCCCGGAUACCGUAGGAGUGCUUUGGGUGUACCAAACGUCACAACGUAACUGGUGACUAUAAAGGUGCUCUACAGGUAUCUCCAAAAGUGUCUAUUGGGUUGGCGCGAAUCGAGACUAGGAUUUGUCACUCCGUAUGACGGAGAGGUAUCUCUAGGCCCACUCGGUAAUGCAUCAUCAUAAUGAGCUCAAUGUGACUAAGUAGUUAGUCACGGGAUCAUGCAUUACGGAACAAGUAAAGUGACUUGCCGGUAACAAGAUUGAACAAGGUAUUGGGAUACCGACGAUCGAAUCUCGGGCAAGUAACGUACCGAUUGACAAAGGGAAUUGUAUACGGGAUUGCUUGAAUCCUUGACAUCAUGGUUCAUCCGAUGAGAUCAUCGUGGAACAUGUGUGAGCCAACAUGGGUAUCCAGAUCCCGCUGUUGGUUAUUGGCCACAGAGCUGUCUUGGUCAUGUCUGCAUGAUUCCCGAACCCGUAGGGUCUACACACUUAAGGUUCGAUGACGCUAGGGUUAUAGGGAAGAUUUGUAUGUGAUUACCGAAUGUUGUUAGGAGUCCCAGUUGAGAUCCCGGACGUCACGAGGAGUUACGAAAUGGUCCAAAGGUGUAGAUUUAUAUAUGGGAAGUCAUCAUACGGUCACCAGAAAUAUUUGGGGGUAUACCGGUAUUGUACCGGGACCACCGGGAGGGUCCAUCUGCCCCGGAGGGCCUUAUGGGCUGUAGGUGGAAGGGAACCAGACCCUAAGUGGGCUGGGCGCCAUCCCCCCUAGGUUCCAUGCGCCUAGGGUUGGGGGAGGGACCCUAAAGGGGGCGCCCCCUUGCUUGGGGGGCAAGCCUCCUCCCCCUUGCCCCCCCUCUAGAUCUCAUCUAGAGGGGCCGAUCCCCUUCCCCCUUCUCCCUAUAAAUAGAGGGGUGGAGGGAGGGCUGCAGCACCACAUCCAAGGCGCAUCCCCUCCCCUCCCCAACACCUCUCCUCCUCCGCGUGAGCUUGGUGAAGCCCUGCCGAAGAACUGCCACUCCAUCACCACCACGCUGUCGUGCUGCUGCUGGAGCCAUCUUCCUCAACCUCUCCCUCCUCCUUGCUAGAUCAAGGUGCAAGAGACGUCACUGAGCUGCACGUGUGUUGAACGCAAAGGUGCCGUUGUUCGGCGCUUAGAUCAGAAUCCGCCGCGAUCUGAAUCGCUACGAGUACGACUCCUUCAUCCGCGUUCUUGCAACGCUUCCGUCUCGCGAUCUUCAAGGGUAUGAAGAUACACUCCCCUCUCUCUCAUUGCUAGUUACUCCAUAGAUUGAUCUUGGUGAUGCGUAGAAUUUUUUUAAUUUCUGCAAUGAUCCCCAACAGUGGCAUCAUGAGCUAGGUCUAUGUGUAGUUUCUAUGCACGAGUAGAACACAAGUUUGUUGUGGGCGUUGAUUUUGUCAAUUUACUUGCCACUACUAGUCUUAUCCUGUUUCGGCGGCAUCGUGGGAUGAAGCGGCCUGGACCGACCUUACACGUACGCUUACGUGAGACAGGUUCCACCGACUGACAUGCACUAGUUGCAUAAGGUGGCUAGCGGGUGUCUGUCUCUCCCACUUUAGUCGGAUUGGAUUCGAUGAAAAGGGUCCUUAUGAAGGGUAAAUAGCAAUUGGCAUAUCACAUUGUGGUUUUUGGCGUAGGUAAAAAACGUUCUUGCUACAAACCUAUAGCAGCCACAUAAAAACUUGCAACAACAAUUAGAGGAUGUCUAACUUGUUUUUGUAGCAUAUGUCAUGUGAUGUGAUAUGGCCAAAAAGGAUGUGAUGAAUGAAAUAUAUGUGAUGUAUGAGAUUAAUCAUGUUCUUGUAAUAGGAAUCACGACUUGCAUGUCGAUGAGCAUGACAAUCGGCAGGAGCCAUAGGAGUUGUCUUUAUUUAUUAUAUGACAUGCGUGUCAUUGAAUAACGCCAUGUAAUUACUUUACUUUAUUGCUAAACCGUUAGCCAUAGUAGUAGAAUUAAUAGUUGGCGAGACAACUUCAUGGAGAUACGAUGAUGGAGAUCACGAUGAUGGAGAUCAUGGUGGUCAUGCCGGUGAUGAUGAUGAUCAUGGCGCCCCGAAGAUGGAGAUCAAAAGUAGCAAAAUGAUACUGGCCAUAUCAUGUCACUAUUUGAUUGCAUGUGAUGUUUAUCAUGUUUUUGUAUCUUAUUUGCUUGGAAAGACGGUAGCAUAAAUAAGAUGACCCCUCAUAAAAUUUCAAGAAAGUGUUCCCCCUAACUGUGCGCCGUUGCGAAAGUUUAUUGUUUUGAAGCACCACAUGAUGAUCGGGUGUGAUAGAUACUAACGUUCGCAUACAACGGGUGUAAUCUAGAUUUACACAUGCAAAACACUUAGGUGGACUUGACGAGCCUAGCAUGUACGGACAUGGCCUUGGAACACAAGAGACCGAAAGGUCUAACAUGAGUCAUAUAGAAGAUACGAUCAACAUGAAGAUGUUCACCGAUGAUGACUAGUCCGUCUCACAUGAUGACCGGACACGACCUAGUUGACUCGGAUCAUGUAUCACUUGGAUGACUAGAGGGAUGUCUAUCUGAGUGGGAGUUCAUUAGAUAAUUUGAUUAGAUGAACUUAUUUAUCAUGAACUUAGUCUAAAAUCUUUGCAAUAUGUCUUGUAGAUCAAAUGGCCCACGCUAAUGUUGCCCUCAACUUCAACGCGUUCCUAGAGAAAACCAAGCUGAAAGACGAUGGUAGCAACUAUACAGACUGGGUCUGAAACUUGAGGAUCAUCCUCAUAGCUGCCAAAAGAGCAUAUGUCCUAGAUGCAUCGCUAGGUGAAGCACCCGUUUUCCCAGCAACUCAAGACGUUAUGAACGCCUGACAGUCGCAUGGUGAUGAUUACUCCCUGGUUCAGUGCCGCAUGCUUUACAGCUUAGAACGGGGGCUCCAAAAGCGUUUUGAGCAGCACAGAGCAUAUGAAAUGUUCCAAGAGCUGAAAAUGGUUUUCCAAGCUCAUGCCCGGGUCGAGAGAUAUGAAGUCUCCGACAAGUUGUACAGUUGAAAGAUAGAGGAGAAUAGUUCUGUCAGCGAGCACAUACUCAAAAUGCCUGGGUUGCACAACCGCUUGUCUCAGCUGGGAGUUAAUCUCCCGGAUGACGCGGUCAUUGACAUAAUCCUUCAGUCGCUCCCACCUAGCUACAAGAGCUUUGUAAUGAACUAAAAUAUGCAGGGGAUGGUGAAAACCAUUCCUGAGGUCUUUUCAAUGCUAAAAUCAGCGGAGGUGGAGAUCAAAAAGGAACAUCAAGUGUGGAUGGUCAAUAAAACCACUAGUUUCAAGAAAGGCAAGGGUAAGAAGAACUUCAAGAAGGACGGCAAGGGAGUUGCCGCGCCCGGUAAGCCAGUUGCCGGGAAGAAGCCAAAGCAUGGACCCAAACCUGAGACUGAAUGCUUUUAUUGCAAGGGAAACGGUCAAUGGAAGCGGAACCGCCCCAAGUACUUAGCGGACAAGAAGGCCGGCAACACCAAAGUUAUAUGUGAUAUACAUUUAUUGAUGUGUACCUUACCAGUACUCGUAGUAGCUCCUGGGUAUUUGAUACCGGUGCGGUUGCUCAUAUUUGUAACUCAAAACAGGAGCUGCGGAAUAAGCGGAGACUGGCGAAGGACAAGGUGACGAUGCGCGUCGGGAAUGGUUCCAAGGUCAAUGUGAUCGCCGUCGGCACGCUACCUCUACAUUUACCUACGGGAUUAGUUUUAAACCUUAGUAAUUAUUAUUUAGUGCCAGCUUUAAGCAUGAACAUUGUAUCUGGAUCUCGUUUAAUAUGAGAUGGCUACCCAUUUAAAUCCGAGAAUAAUGGUUAUUCUAUUUAUAUGAGAGAUAUGUUUUAUGGUCAUGCCCUGCUGGUCAAUGGUUUAUUCUUAAUGAAUCUCGAAUGUGAUGUUACACAUAUUCAUAGUGUGAAUACCAAAAGAUGUAAGAUUGAUAAUGAUAGUCCCACAUACCUGUGGCACUCCCGCCUUGGUCACAUUGGUGUCAAGCGCAUGAAGAAGCUCCAUGCAGAUGGACUUUUGGAGUCUCUUGAUUACGAAUCAUUUGACACGUGCGAACCAUGCCUCAUGGGAAAAAUGACCAAGACUCCAUUCUCCGGAACAAUGGAGCGAGCAACCAACUUAUUGGAAAUCAUACAUACUAAUGUGUGCGGUCCAAUAAGCGUUGAGGCUUGAUACGUCUCCAAUGUAUCUACUUUUCCCAACACUUUUGCCCUUGUUUUGGACUCUAACUUGCAUGAUUUGAAUGAAACUAACCCGGACUGACGAUGUUUUCAGGAGAACUGCCAUGAUGUUGUUUUAUGUGUAGAAAAGAAAAGUUCUCGGAAUGUCCUGAAAAUCCACAAAGGCACUUUUUGGAAUUAAUAAGAGUUUCUAGGCGAAAGAAAUACACCAGGAGGCCCAGGGCCUGUCCAUGAGACAUGCCCCCACCUGUAGGGUGCGCCCCCUAUCUCGUGGCCCCCCUGGACCUCCACCGACCUCAACUUUAAUUCCAUAUAUUCCGUCUCGCAGAGAAAAAAAUCAGAGAGAAAGUUUCAUUGCAUUUUACGACACGGAGCCGCCACAAAGCCCUAAUCUCUCUCGGGAGGGCUGAUCUGGAGUCCGUUCGGGGCUCCGGAGAGGGGGAUUCGUCGCCGUCGUCAUCAUCAACCAUCCUCCAUCACCAAUUUCAUGAUUCUCACCACCGUGCGUGAGUAAUUCCAUCAUAGGCUUGCUAGACGGUGAUGGGUUGGAUGAGAUUUACCAUGAAUCAAGUUAGUUUUGUUAGGGUUUGAUCCCUAGUAUCCACUAUGUUCUGAGAUUGAUGUUGCUAUGACUUUGCUAUGCUUAAUGCUUGUCACUAGGGCCCGAGUGCCAUGAUUUAAGAUCUGAACCUAUUAUGUUUUCAUCAAUAUAUGUGUGUUCUUGAUCCUAUCUUGCGAGUCUGUAGUCACCUAUUAUGUGUUAUGAUCCGACAACCCCGAAGUGACAAUAAUCGGGAUACUUCUCGGUGAUGAUCGUAGUUUGAGGAGUUCAUGUAUUCACUAUGUAUUAAUGCUUUGGUAUGGUUCUCUAUUAAAAGGAGGCCUUAAUAUCCCUUAGUUUCCACUAGGACCCCACUGCCAUGGGAGGGUAGGACAAAAGAUGUCAUGCAAGUUCUUUUCCAUAAGCACGUAUGACUAUUUAUGGAAUACAUGCCUACAUUACAUUGAUGAACUGGAGCUAGUUCUGUGUCACCCUAUGUUAUACCUAUUACAUGAGGAAUCGCAUCCGGCAUAAUUAUCCAUCACUGAUCCAUUGCCUACGAGCUUUUCACAUAUUGUUCUUCGCUUAUUUACUUUUCCGUUGCUGCUGUUACAAUCACUACAAAACACCAAAAAUAUUGCUAUUACUAUCUUUACCUUUUAUCACCGUUACCAUUACUAUCAUACUAUUUUGCUACUAAAUACUUUGCUGCAGAUACUAACUUAUCCAGGUGUGGUUGAAUUGACAACUCAACUGCUAAUACUCAAGAAUAUUCUUUGGCUCCCCUUGUGUCGAAUCAAUAAAUUUGGGUUGAAUACUUUACCCUCGAAAGCUGUUGCGAUCCCCUACACUUGUGGGUUAUCAAGACUAAUUUCUGGCGCUGUUGCCGGGGAGCAUAGCUAUAUUCUUUGAGUCACCUGGGAUUUAUAUCUGUUGAUCACUAUGAAGAAUUUGAAAGACUCUAAAACCAAGAUCUAUCCCUCAACUACAAGGGAGGUAAGGAACUGCCAUCUAGCUUUGCACUAGAUUCUCCUUCUGUUAUUAGUAGGCUUGUGACACCUAAACCUGCUACUGCUAUGAAUUCUGAUAUGUCGCAUGUUAUUGAUGAUGCUACAUCCGCUAUGCAUGAUGAAACUACUUCUGUGCGUAAUACUACUGUGCUAUUAGGUGAAUUUCUUGAUGAACAACUUGCUAGGGCUAGACAGAAUGAAACUAUUGAAGAUGCUAUUAUUGAUGAUAGUGAUGAUGAACGUUCUCCGAAUGAUUAUGAAUUGCCAGUUGUUCCUGAGGGUUAUGUUAUGAAUAAAGAAGCUGCUGAAGCUAUUUUUGCCUGCAAAGAUAGAUAUGAUCUUAAGAAACUAUUAGCUAAAUGGAAGCAGCAGUCUCUUAAUGCUAGAAUGAAACCUGACCCUGCUUUUGCUACUUCACCUAUCUGUGUUACUGAUAAGGAUUAUGAAUUCUCUAUUGAUCCUGAAAUUAUUACUUUGGUAGAAUCUGAUCCUUUUUAUGGCCUUGAAUCUGAAACUGUUGUGGCACAUCUUACCAAGUUGAAUGAUAUAGCUACCCUGUUUACUCAUGAUGAUAGAUCUCGCUACUUUUAUAUCCUUAAGAUAUUCCCGUUCUCAUUAAAGGGUGAUGCUAAGACUUGGUAUAAUUCUCUUGCUCCUGGUUGUGUGCGUAGUCCCCAGGAUAUGAUUUAUUACUUCUCUGCUAAAUAUUUUCCUGCUCAUAAGAAACAAGCUGCCUUGCGGGAAAUAUAUAAUUUUGUGCAAAUAAAAGAAGAGAGUCUCCCACAAGCUUGGGGGAGGCUUCUCCGAUUACUUAAUGCUUUGCCGGAUCAUCCACUUAAGAAAAAUGAAAUACUUGAUAUCUUCUAUAAUGGACUAACCGAUGCUUCCAAGGACUACUUGGAUAGUUGUGCUGGUUGUGUUUUCAGGGAAAGAACAGUCGAUGAAGCUGAGUUACUAUUGAAUAAUAUGUUGACUAAUGAAAAUAAUUGGACUCUCCCUGAGCCAAUUCCUGAACCAAUUGAGCCAACUCCUGAGCCUAUUCCUAAACCCACUCCGAAGAAGAGAGGUGUUCUAUUUCUCAGUCCUGAAGAUAUGCAAGAGGCAAAGAAAUCAAUGAAAGAAAAAGGUAUUAAAGCUGAAGAUGUUAAUAAUUUACCUCCUAUUGAAGAAAUACAUGGUCUUAACAUAUCGCCUAUUGAAGAAACACAUUGUCUUGAUAACCCGACACACGUAGUCCUUGGAAGCAUCGGUUAGUCCAUUAUAGACAAGCAAAUUUCAUAGCCCUUGCUUAGAUGAAUUUGAUGAUUUCAUGAAUAGACAAGCAAAUUUCAAUGAUUAUGUUGGUAGACAAUUGAAGAAUAAUUCUUAUAUGAUAGUACGCUUGAAUGAUUAUGUAGCUAGAGUUAAAAGUGAACUUAAACUCACUAGUAAACAUGCUUCCAUGAUUGCUACUCAAGCUGAACAAGUACUUAAGGCUCAGAACGAAUUGCUAGCUGAAUUAAAUAAUAAAAAUGACUUUGCUAUUAGAGUGGCUACUAGAACUGGUAGAAUGACUCAGGAACCUUUGUAUCCUGAAGGCCACCCUAAAAGAAUUGAACAAGAUUCUCAGAAUAAUAAUCUAGAUGCUCCUAGAUCUUCUAAGAAGAAGAAAAAGAAGAAUGAUAGGACAUUGCAAACUUCUAGUGAACCUAAUGUAGAAAUACCUGAGAAUCCUAAUAAUACUUCUAUCUCUGAUGCUGAAACACAAUCCAGAGAUGAACAUGAACCUGAUGAUAAUGCUAAUAAUGAUGUUCAUGUAGAUGCUCAACCUAGCAAUAACAAUGAUAUAGAAAUUGAUCCUGCUAUUGGUCUUGAUAACCCACAAUCAAGAAACCAACGUUAUGAUAAGAGAGAUUUUGUUGCUAGGAAGCAUGGUAAAGAAAGAGAACCAUGGGUUCAGAAACCCAUGCCCUUUCCUCCUAAACCAUCCAAGUCAAAGGAUGAUGAGGACUUUGAGCGUUUUGCUGAAAUGAUUAGACCUAUUUUCUUAUGCAUGCGCUUAACUGAUAUGCUUAAAACAAACCCUUAUGCUAAAUAUAUGAAAGAUAUCAUCACUAAUAAGAGGAAAAUACCUGAAACUGAGAUUUCCACCAUGCUUGCCAACUAUACCUUUAAGGGUGGAAUACCUAAGAAACUUGGUGAUCCCGGAGUACCCACUAUACCUUGCUCUAUUAAAAGAAAUUAUGUUAAAACUGCUUUAUGUGAUUUAGGAGCCGGUGUUAGUGUUAUGCCUCUUUCCUUGUACCGUAGACUUGAAUUAAGUAAGUUGACACCUACUGAGAUAGCUUUGCAAAUGGCUGACAAAUUAACUGCUAUACCUGUGGGCAUUUGUGAGGACGUGCCUGUUGUUGUUGCAAAUGUUACUAUCUUAACAUACUUCGUUAUUCUUGAUAUUCCCGAGGACGAUAGUAUGUCUAUUAUUCUUGGUAGACCCUUUUUAAAUACUGCAGGAGCUGUUAUUGAUUGCAACAAGGGCCAUGUCACCUUUCAUGUUAACGGAAAUGAGCACACGGUACAUUUUCCGAGGAAGCAAAUCCAAGUUCAUAGCAUAAAUACUAUUAAGAAAAUUCCAUCAAUUAUUAUUGGAGGUUCUGAAUUUCUUCUCCCUACUGUCAAGAAAAAGUAUGAUAUUCUUAUUGUUGGGGAUUUUCAUAUCCCCGUUGAGGUAACUUAGUGUUAUUCGAAAUUUCUCCGAUUCCGUGCUAUUCGGAAACAAUUUGUUAACAAGACUUGAUCAACCUUGUUAGUGGGUUCAUUUUGACGAUCACGAGAUGGAUGAAACUAGAAGGCAUACCCUUUUGUACCCUCUUUUUACUUUCUGUCUUCUAGAUUAAAUAAAGCAAAAAUAGUAUUAUCCGUCUGUUUUCUCAAUUAUCCAUGCAAUAAAAAAUAGUCCAAAAAUAAAAGUGCUCCAAAUGCCUUGCAAAUUUAGUAUGAUUUUUAUGGAAUAUUUGAGGAUUUUAGGCACUGAAAACACUGCAGGAGGGGCAAGCACCAGACCACGAGAGUGGAGGGCGCGCCCCCUGUCUUGUGGGUCCCUGGUAGCCCCCCUCCACUUAUGCCAACACCCACACACUCCAUCUUCUACCCAAAAAAAUCCCCAUCUAGCUCAAGCACGAGUUCUAGCUCAUUUUGCUGCGAUUUUCGAUCUCCUUGCUCAAAGCUCCAUUCACAAAACUGCUUUGGGAGAUUGUUGCUUGGUAUGUGACUCCUCCAUUGGUCCAUUUAGUUUUUGUUCUAGUGCUUUACUCAUUGCAAAUCCUUGCUUCCUUGGUGACCCUGUUCUUGAGCGUGCAUGUUAAAUUUAUGAGGUUCCAAGUAAUUCUAAUGCAUGAUAUAGGCUCUAGGCACUUGUAGGAGUAGUUGCUACCAUUCUUGUUAAGCUUUACUCACUUUUAUUUUGAAGUUACUAAAAUUUCAGAAAUUUUCAGAAAAUGUUACGGAGACUUUUGAGGGUCUCUUCUAGCCAUGGUUCUCAGGAAAAACAAGCUAAAGAGAAGGAAAAAGCCAAGUAUAAUCUUCCUCGCUUAGCGGAAGUACAGUCGUGUGAAUGGCCAUGUGAUAAUUUCUUGAAAGAAGCUGGAAUUCAUGAAGAUUUUUAUUCUUUGAUUGAGAGUGCAAGCCUCAACAAUUUUCUCCUCGACCGAAUAGAUCAGUAUCUCUUGCUUACCAAUACUUUCGUGCAAAACUUUUAUUAUUAUCCUAAGAAGUCACCACCUUCAGUAUCAUUUCAUUUAUAUGAUGAAUUCAGAGAAAUGACUUUACGUGACUUUUGCGCGGUAUGUAAGAUACCUUUUGGGGGAGAAUUAGAGGAACCCCAUCGUGAAGAUGUGGAGGGCUUUGUUAACACUAUAGAUGUAGAGGAGCCAAAGAAAGGUUCCGAGGCAAAAAUCUCUAGCAUACACUUUCCUGUUUUACGAUACUUUGCUAUAUUUGCUAGUAGAUGCUUGAUUGGUCAUGGAAAUAGUGGAAACUUAAGUGUUCCUGAUAUUAUCAUUCUUCAACAUGCCUUGCUUGGAGACAAUACUCUUAGUAUGGGUGCCGUCGUUGCUAAGCGGCUAGCCCUGAAUCGUACAAAAGGCCCCAUAUUUGGAGGUAUCUAUGCUUCACGUCUUGCUAGACAUUUUAGGAUACCUAUUAGGCAUCUUGAGAAAGAGGAGACAACAUUACCUCCUCACAUUUUAGAUUACAAGAGCAUGGUAGCACACAAGUUUAUUGUCGACAACAAAGAGAGGAAGCUCUUGUAUAAACUUAGAUUCAAUAAGAAACACUUUGAGAUUAUUAUUUUGCCUGCGCCUCUGUUGUUUGAUUUGCUUGCAGAAAAAUUUCUCGUCACACCGGAAGCGGUGAACAAUCAUCGAGCCCAAGCUUUUACUCCAGAACCUGAACCUGAGCGGAACCUGAACUGGACCCUUAUCGUGCAUCAUCUGUCCAAUGGGAUCCGGAGAUGACCAGCCAGUGGUAUCCUAAUUACACCUCUCAUUACACCGGGGAGAGUAGUGGAGGUCCCUGGUAUUAGACCAACUUAGGCCAAAAUCCUAAGCUUGGGGGAGUACGUAUUUCUCACCGACUUUACAUUCAUGUUCACACACUAGUUGUUGGUGCUCAUACUCUUUCAUUGUAUUAUCCAUGUUAGUUUAAAUUUCUUUUUCUAGUUUUCUUCUUGUGUGUUUGAUAAACCUUGAGAAAAACCAAGAAAAUUAGUUAGCUUAAUUUACAUGCUUGUAGUAGAAUUAAAAUGAAAAACCCAAAAAUAUUUCUCGUUCUUCUUUUACUUGUUGGGAGCUUUCCCGUGUAAAUAGUUUUAUUUUCUUUUCUUUCCUUUGAGGGGUCGAGAAGACCAUAUUGAAAAUGUUUAGUGGCUCUCAUAUGCAUGAUUGUUUAUUUAAUUUAGAGCCCAUAUUACUUGUCUUCUCUUUUGAGUUGAAUGCUUGCAGAUUCCAGCUUAGUCCAAUGCAUGUACACUUUUAUUAUUAUACACAUUGUUCGGUCGUGCAAGUGAAAGGUAAUAAUGAUGAUAUAUGAUGGACUUAUUGGGAUGAGAAAAGCUGGUAUGAACUCGACCUCUCUUGUUUUUGUAAAUAUGAUGAGUUCAUUGUUCUUGAUUCAUCUUAUUAUGAAGUAAACAUAUUUGCAAUAACAUUUAGAGAUUAUAGUUGCUUGUGCCAUGCUUGAUUAGCUUUGAGUUAUAAUGGUUUACCCUGCGUGCCAACAUGCUAUUAGAAUGAUUAUGAUGUGGUAUGAUGGGAUGGUAUCCUCCUUUGAAUGAAUUGAGUGACUCGACUUGGCACAUGUUCACGCAUGUAGUUGAAACAAAAUAAACAUAGCCUUCACGAUAUUUAUGUUCAUGGUGGAUUAUAUCCUACUCAUGUUUGUACUUGGUGUGAAUUAGUUUUAAUGCAUGUUUAUGGCUGUUGUCGCUCUUUCAGUUAGUCGCUUCCCAGUCUUUUGCUAGCCUUCACCUAUACUAAGCGGGAAUACUGCUUGUGCAUCCAAACUCCUUAAACCCCAAAGUUGCUCCAUAUGAGUCCACCAUACCUUCCUAUAUGCGGUAUUUACCUGCCGUUCCAAGUAAAUUUGUAUGUGCCAAACUCUAAACCUUCAAAUGAAAUUCUAUUUUGUAUGCUCUAGCCGCUCAUGUUUCCACUAGGGCUGCCUAUAUCUUCCAUGCUAGGUGGGUUAUUCUCAGAGGAGUGGACUCCGCUCCUCAUUCAUGAGAAAGGUCCGGUAACCGGGAUGCCCAGUCCCAUGAUCCAAAAAGAUCAAAGCAAAUCAAAAUAAUUAAACAAAACUCCCCCAGGGCUGUUGUUAGUUGGAGGCACUCAUUGUUUCGAGCAAGCCAUGGAUUGAUGCCUGUUGGUGGUCGGGGGAGUAUAAACUUUUACCAUUCUGCGUGGGAACUGCCUAUAAUGCACGUAGUAUGGAAGAUACAACCAUCUCAUAGUUGUUCCGUUAACAGCGAAAGUAUGCCGCUCAAAAUGUUAUUCAAUCUCUAUUUUAAAAUUCAAGCUCUGGCACCUCUACAAAUCUCUGCUUCCCUCUGCGAAGGGCCUAUCUAUUUAUUUUUAUGUUGAGUCAUCACUUCUUAUUAAAAAGCACCCGCUGGAGAGCACACUGUCAUUUGCGUUCAUUACUAUUGGUUUAUAUUGGGUAUGACUUGACUGGAUCUCUUUUACCAUGAAUUACAAUGUUUAGUCAGUCCUUGAUCUUUAAAGGUGCCCUGCAUUUAUGUUUUGCGGUCUCAGAAAGGGCUAGCGAGAUACCAUUUUGUUAUAUCAUGUUAUGAUUGUUUUGAGAAAGUGUUUUCAUCCGAGUUUUAUUAUUAUGGCUCGCUAGCUGAUUAUGUUAUUGAUAUGAGUAAUUGUGAGACCUAAGUGUUAUUGUGAAUAUGGUUAGUUCAUAAUAUUUGUUGAAACCUGAAUGAUGGCUUUGCAUGUUUACAACAACAAGAGCAAAUAGAGUUUGUAAAAGUUUUUCUUUGUCACUUUCAGUUUAUCAACUGAAUUGCUUGAGGACAAGCAAAGGUUUAAGCUUGGGGGAGUUGAUACGUCUCCAACGUAUCUACUUUUCCAAACACUCUUGCCCUUGUUUUGGACUCUAACUUGCAUGAUUUGAAUGAAACUAACCCGGACUGACGCUGUUUUCAGCAGAACUGCCAUGAUGUUGUUUUAUGUGUAGAAAAGAAAAGUUCUUGGAAUUUCCUGAAAAUCCAUAGAGGCACUUUUUGGAAUUAAUAAGAAUUUCUGGGCGAAAGAAAUACACCAGGGGGCCCAGGGCCUGUCCACGAGACAGGGGGCGUGCCCCCCCUGUAAGGCGCGCCCCCUAUCUCGUGGGCCCCCUGGACCUCCACCGACCUCAACUCCAACUCCAUAUAUUCCGUCUCGCGGAGAAAAAAUCAGAGAGAAAGUUCAUCGCGUUUUACGACACGGAGCCGCCGCCAAGCCCUAAUCUCUCUCGGGAGGGCUGAUGUGGAGUCCGUUCGGGGCUCCGGAGAGGGGGAUUCGUCGCCGUCGUCAUCAUCAACCAUCCUCCAUCACCAAUUUCAUGAUGCUCACCGCCGUGCUUGAGUAAUUCCAUCGUAGGCUUGCUGGACGGUGAUGGGUUGGAUGAGAUUUACCAUGUAAUCAAGUUAGUUUUGUUAGGGUUUGAUCUCUAGUAUCCACUAUGUUCUGAGAUUGAUGUUGCUAUGACUUUGCUAUGCUUAAUGCUUGUCAGUAGGGCCCGAGUGCCAUGAUUUCAGAUCUGAACCUAUUAUGUUUUCAUCAAUAUAUGUGUGUUCUUGAUCCUAUCUUGCAAGUCUAUAGUCACCUAUUAUGUGUUAUGAUCCGACACCCCGAAGUGACAAUAAUCGGGAUACUUCUCGGUGAUGAUCGUAGUUUGAGGAGUUCAUGUAUUCACUAUGUGUUAAUGCUUUGGUCCGGUUCUCUAUUAAAAGGAGGCCUUAAUAUCCCUUAGUUUCCACUAGGACCCCGCUGCCACGGGAGGGUAGGACAAGAGAUGUCAUGCAAGUUCUUUUCCAUAAGCACAUAUGACUAUUUACGGAAUACAUGCCUACAUUACAUUGAUGAACUGGAGCUAGUUCUGUGUCACCCUAUGUUAUAGCUAUUACAUGAGUAAUCGCAUCCGGCAUAAUUAUCCAUCACUGAUCCAUUGCGUACGAGUGUUUCACAUAUUGUUCUUCGCUUAUUUACUUUUCCGUUGCUGCUGUUACAAUCACUACAAAACACCAAAAAUAUUGCUAUUACUAUCUUUACAUUUUAUCACCAUUACCAUUACUAUCAUACUAUUUUGCUAAUAAAUACUUUGAUGCAGAUACUAAGUUAUCCAGGUGUGGUUGAAUUGACAACUCAACUGCUAAUACUCAAGAAUAUUCUUUGGCUCACCUUGUGUCGAAUCAAUAAAUUUGGGUUGAAUACUUUACCCUCGAAAGCUGUUGCGAUCCCCUACACUUGUGGGUUAUCAAGGCUCGUGGAGGCUAUCGUUUUGUUCUCACCCCCACUGAUGACUUAAGUAGAUAUGGGUAUGUUUACUUGAUGAAACACAAGCCUGAGACCUUUGAGAAGUUCAAGGAAUUUCAGAGUGAGGUGGAGAAUCAACGUGACAGAAAAAUAAAGUUCUUACGAUCAGAUCAUGGGGGAGAAUAUUUGAGUCACGAGUUUGGUACGCACUUAAGGAAAUGUGGAAUUGUUUCACAACUCACUCCACCUAGAACACCUCAGCGUAAUGGUGUGUCCGAACGUCGUAAUCGCACUGUAUUGGAUAUGGUGUGAUCUAUGGUGUCUCUUACUGAUUUACCACUAUCAUCUUGGGGAUACGCUUUAGAGACAACUACAUUCACUUUAAAUAGGGCACCGCCUAAACCCGUUGGGACGACACCAUAUGAAUUAUGGUUUGGGAAGAAACCUAAGCAGUCAUUUCUAAAAGUUUGGGGAUGCGAUGCUUAUGUCAAGAAACUUCAACCUGAAAAGCUCGAACCCAAGUCGGAAAAAUGCGUCUUCAUAGGAUAUCCUAAGGAAACCAUUGGUUAUACCUUCUACCUCAGAUCCGAAGGCAAGAUCUUUGUUGCCAAGAACGGGUCCUUUAUGGAGGAAGAGUUUCUCUCGAAAGAAGUAAGUGGGAGGAAGGUAGAACUUGAUGAAGUAUUGCCUCUUGAACCGGAAAGUAGCGCAGCUCAGGAAGAUGUUUCUGUGGUGCCUGCACCGACUAGAGAGGAAGUUAAUGAUGAUGAUAAAGGUACUUCAGAUCAAGUUGCUACUGAACUUUGUAGGUCCACAAGGACACGUUCCACACUAGAAUGGUAUGGCAACCCUGUCCUGGAAAUCAUGUUGUUAGACAAUGGUGAACCUUCGAACUAUGAAGAAGCGAUGGCGGGCCUAGAUUCCAACAAAUGGCUUGAAGCCAUGCAAUACGAGAUAGGAUCCAUGUAUGAAAACAAAGUAUGGACUUUGACAGACUUGCCCGAUGAUCGGCGAGAAAUAGAAAAUAAAUGGACCUUUAAGAAGAAGACGGACAUGGAUGGUAAUGUUACCAUCUAUAAAGCUCGGCUUGUCGCUAAGUGUUACCGACAAGUUCAAGGGGUUGACUACGAUGAGACCUUCUCACCCAUAGCGAAGCUGAUGUCCGUCUGAAUCUUGUUAGCAAUUGCUGCAUUCUAUGAUUAUGAGAUAUGGCAAAUGGACGUCAAAAUGGCAUUCCUUAACGGUUUCCUCAAGGAAGAAUUGUAUGUGAUGCAGCUGGAAGGUUUUGUCGAUCCUAAGAAUGCUAACAAGGUGUGCAAGCUCCAGCGCUCCAUCUAUGGGCUGGUGCAAGCAUCUCAGAGUUGGAACAUUCACUUUGAUGAAAAGAUCAAAGCGUUUGGGUUUGUGCAGACUUAUGGAGAAGCCUGCGUUUACAAGAAAGUGAGUGGGAGCUCUGUAGCAUUCUCAUAUUAUAUGUGGAUGACAUACUAUUGAUGGGAAAUGAUAUAGAACUUUUGGAUAGCAUAAAGGCCUACUUGAAUAAGUGUUUUUCAAUGAAGGACCUUGGAGAAGCUGCUUACAUAUUAGGCAUCAAGAUCUAUAGAGAUAGAUCAAGAUGCCUCAUAGGUCUUUCACAAAGCACAUACCUUGAUAAGAUAUUGAAGAAGUUCAAUAUGGAUCAAUCCAAGAAGGGGUUCUUGCCUGUAUUGUAAGGUGUGAAAUUGAGCUCGGCUCAAUGCCCAACCUCGGCAGAAGAUAGAGAAAAGAUGAGUGUCAUCCCCUAUGCCUCGGCCAUAGGGUCUAUUGCGUAUGCCAUGCUGUGUACCAGACGUGAUGUAAACCUUGCCGUAAGUUUGGUAGAGAGGUACCAAAGUAAUCUCGGCAUGGAACACUGGACAGCGGUUAAGAAUAUCCCGAAGUACCUGAAAAGGACUAAGGAUAUGUUUCUCAUUUAUGGAGGUGACAAAGAGCUCAUCGUAAAGGGUUAAGUCGAUGCUAGCUUCGACACAGAUCUAGAUGACUCCAAGUCACAAACCGGAUACGUGUAUAUUUUGAAUGGUCAGGCAGUAAGCUGGUGCAGUUGCAAGCAAAGCGUCGUCGCGGGAUCCACAUGUGAAGCAGAGUACAUGGCAGCCUCAGAGGCAGCACAUGAAGCAACCUGGAUGAAGGAGUUCAUUACCGACCUAGGAGUUAUUCCCAAUGCGUCGGGCCCGAUGACUCUCUUCUAUGACAACACUGGAGCUAUUGCCCUUGCCAAGGAGCCUAGGUUUCACAAGAAGACCAGGCACAUCAAGCGUCGCUUCAACUCCAUUUGUGAAAAUGUUCAAGAUGUAGACAUAGAUAUUUGUAAAGUGCAUACGGAUCUGAAUGUCGCAGAUCCGUUGACUAAACCUCUUCCACGAGCAAAACAUGAUCAACACCAGAACUCUAUGGGUGUUUGAUUCAUCAUAGUGUAACUAGAUUAUUGGAAAUAUGCCCUAGAGGAAAUAAUAAAAUGGUUAUUAUUAUAUUUCCUUGUUCAUGAUAAUUGUCUAUUAUUCAUGCUAUAAUUGUAUUGACCGGAAACUGUAAUACAUGUGUGAAUACGUAGACCACAACAUGUCCCUAGUGAGCCUCUAGUUUGACUAGCUCGUUGAUCAACAGAUGGUCAUGGUUUCCUGACUAUGGACAUUGGAUGUCAUUGAUAAUGGGAUCACAUCAUUAGGAGAAUGAUGUGAUGGACAAGACCCAAUCCUAAGCAUAGCACAAGAUCGUGUAGUUCGUUUGCUAAAGCUUUUCUAAUGUCAAGUAUCAUUUCCUUAGACCAUGAGAUUGUGUAACUCCCGGAUACCGUAGGAGUGCUUUGGGUGUACCAAACGUCACAACGUAACUGGGUGACUAUAAAGGUGCUCUAGAGGUAUCUCCAAAAGUGUCUGUUGGGUUGGCGUGAAUCGAGACUGGGAUUUGUCACUCCGUAUGACGAAGAGGUAUCUCUGGGCCCACUCGGUAAUGCAUCAUCAUUAUGAGCUCAAUGUGACUAAGUAGUUAGUCACGGGAUCAUGCAUUACAGAACGAGUAAAGUGACUUGCCGGUAAUGAGAUUGAACGAGGUAUUGGGAUACCGACGAUCGAAUCUCGGGCAAGUAAUGUACCUAUUGACAAAGGGAAUUGUAUACGGGAUUGCUUGAGUCCUUGACAUCAUGGUUCAUCCGAUGAGAUCAUCGUGGAACAUGUGGGAGCCAACAUGGGUAUCCAGAUCCCACUGUUGGUUAUUGGCCACAGAGGUGUCUCGGUCAUGUCUGCAUGAUUCCCGAACCCGUAGGGUCUACACACUUAAGGUUCGAUGAUGCUAGGGUUAUAGGGAAGAUUUGUAUGUGAUUACCGAAUGUUGUUCGGAGUCCCGGAUGAGAUCCCGGAUGUCACGAGGAGUUCCAGAAUGGUCCGGAGGUGAAGAUUUAUAUAUUGGAAGUCAUCAUACGGUCACCAGAAAUAUUCGGGGGUAUACCGGUAUUGUACCGGGACCACCGGAGGGGUUCCGGGGGUCCACCGGGAGGGUCCACCUGCCCCGGAGGGCCUUAUGGGCUGUAGGUGGAAGGGAACCAGCCCCUAAGUGGGCUAGGCGCCAUCCCCCUAGGGCCCAUGCGCCUAGGGUUGGGGGGGGAGCCAUAAAGGGGGCGCCCCCUUGCUUGGGGGGCAAGCCCCCCCCCCCCUUGGCCGCCGCCCCCUCUAGAUCUCAUCUAGAGGGGCCGGCCCCCUUCCCCCUUCUCCCUAUAAAUAGAGGGGUGGAGGGAGGGCUGCAACACCACAUCCAAGGCGCAGACCCUCCCCUCCCCAACGCCUCUCCUCCUCCGCGUGAGCUUGGCGAAGCCCUGCCGGAGAACUUCCACUCCAUCACCACCACGCCGUCGUGCUACUACUGGAGCCAUCUUCCUCAACCUCUCCCUCCUCCUUGCUGGAUCAAGGUGUGGGAGACGUCACCGGGCUGCACGUGUGUUGAAUGCGGAGGUGCCGUUGUUCUUCGCUUAGAUCGGAAUCCGCCGCGAUCUGAAUCGCUACGAGUACGACUCCUUCAUCCGCGUUCUUGCAACGCUUCUGUCUUGCGAUCUUCAAGGGUAUGAAGAUGCACUCCCCUCUCUCUUGUUGCUAGUUACUCCAUAGAUUGAUCUUGGUGAUGCAUAGAAUUUUUUUAAUUUCUGCAAUGAUCCCCAACAGAGAACCCCGUUGUAGACAACUUGUCUAGGUUAGAGAGUGUUCUUGAUGACCCAUUACCUAUUGAUGAUAGCUUUCCUGAUGAACAAUUAGCGGUCAUAAAUAUUUCUCGUACUGCUCCGUGGUAUGUUGAUUAUGCUAAUUACAUUGUUGCUAAAUUUAUACCACCUAGUUUCACAUACCAGCAGAAGAAAAAGUUCUUUUAUGAUUUAAGACAUUACUUCUGGGAUGACCCACACAUUUAUAAAGAAGGAGUAGAUGGUGUUAUUAGACGUUGUGUACCUGAGCAUGAACGGGAACAGAUCCUAUGCAAGUGUCACUCCGAGGCAUAUGGAGGACACCAUGCUAGAGAUAGAACUGCACAUAAGGUAUUGCAAUCCGGUUUUUAUUGGCCUACUCUCUUCAAAGAUGCCCGUAAGUUUGUCUUGUCUUGUGAUGAAUGUCAAAGAAUUGGUAAUAUUAGUAGACGUCAAGAAACGCCUAUGAAUUUUUCUCUUAUUAUUGAACCAUUUGAUGUUUGGGGCUUCGAUUAUAUGGGACCUUUUCCUGCCUCCAAUGGAUAUACACAUAUUUUAGUUGCUGUUGAUUAUGUUACUAAGUGGGUAGAAGCUAUUCCAACUAGUAGUGUUGAUCAUAACACUUCUAUUAAGAUGCUUAAAGAAGUUAUUUUUCCGAGGUUUGGAGUCCCUAGAUACUUAAUGACUAAUGGUGGUUCACAUUUUAUUCAUGGUGCCUUUCGUAAAAUGCUUGCUAAGUAUGAUGUUAAUCAUAGAAUUGCAUCUCCAUAUCACCCACAGUCUAAUGGUCAAGUAGAAUUUGAGUAAUAGAGAACUCAAAUUAAUUUUGCAAAAGACUGUUAAUAGAUCUAGAAAGAAUUGGUCCAAGAAACUUGAUGAUGCAUUAUGGGCUUAUAGAACUGCAUAUAAGAAUCCUAUGGGUAUGUCUCCGCAUAAAAUGGUUUAUGUAAAAGCAUGUCACUUACCUCUUGAACUUGAACAUAAGGCAUAUUGGGCCAUUAAAGAGAUCAAUUAUGAUUUCAAACUUGCCGGUGAGAAGAGGUUAUUUGACAUUAGCUCACCUGAUGAAUGAAGAACCCAAGCCUAUGAGAAUGCCAAGCUGUUUAAAGAAAAAGUUAAAAGAUGGCAUGACAAAAGGAUACAAAAGCGUGAGUUUAACGUAGGUGAUUACGUUUUGCUUUUCAACUCUCGUUUAAGAUUUUUUGCAGGAAAACUUCUCUCUAUAUGGGAAGGGCCUUAGGUUAUCGAGGAGGCCUAUCGUUCCUGUGCCAUAAAAAUCAACAGCUUCGAAGGCACAAGUCCAAGGGUGGUGAACGGUCACAGAAUCAAACAUUAUAUCUUAGGUAACCCCAUAAAUGUUGAAACUAAUAUUACUGAAACCGUAACCCCGGAGGAAUGCAUAAGGGACACUUUCCAGAAUGUUUCAGACUCCGAAAAGGAAUAGGUAUGUGGUACGGUAAGUAAACCGACUCCAAAACAGUUCUAAUGGCAAUUUUUCUCUGUUUUGGAAUAUUUAAGAAAAUAGAAAAAUAAGAAGUAGUCCGGGAAGGACACGAGGCGUCCACAAGGGUGGAGGGCACGCCCACCCCUACUGGGCGCGCCCCCUACCUCUUGGGCACCUCAUGUGCUCUCCGGACUCCGUUUUCGUACACGAUACUUCUUUUGGUCGGUAAAAAUUCAUUAUAUAAUAUCCCAAAGGUUUUGACCAUCGUAUCACGCAAAAGUCUUUUGUUUUUGUUUAGAGCUGUUUCUGUUACAGAUUUAGAGCAAGAUGUCUUCUCAAGAGUCAGUCGGGGAGAGUCGGGUGUCCCACCCGACACCAGGUCCAGGAACAAACAACGAUGCUUAUCACUUUGGACCAUCAACGGAGGAUGAGAUGAAGGCCGACUUGAGAAGGAUAGAUGCCAUGGAGGAGGAUCAAGAAGUUACCUAUCGCUUCCGAGCAGGAUUCAUGAUGGGGGAACUACAGAGCUCAGCUGUUCCAAAUUCGGUCAUCCCUUCCAAUGUUAAAUUUCUUUCUUAUGAAAAUAUGAAAAAUAGUGUCACUUGUUCUCCAGAAGCUAUGCAACACCCUUGGGUAAAAGGAGCUUUAGCCGUCACAGGCAAGCUCCGCCAGGAAAAUAUGGACCUCAAGCAACAGGUCAAUAAUCUCAAGGAGGAGAAUCGUAUCCUGAGGGGCAUCAUCGCCAAGAAGAUCGCAACACCAACUCUGAAUAAGGAGACAUAAUCACAUGGGUAUGGGCACUCCCCUUGGCAACUGCCAAGCUUGGGGGAUUUGCCCCGGUAUCGUAUCACCAUCACACUCCUAUCUUUACCUUUUUCUUAGUUCGAUCCUUUUAGUAAUAUCUUGAUCUAGUAGAAUAAAGUUUGUCAUGAAUUAGUUUUGAGUUUUGCUUUGUGAUCCCUCUAUGUAAUCGAGUCUGUGAGAUAUAUAUAAUAAAGAUUAGUGUUGAGUCAAGGGCUUUGCUAUCUUGCUAUGAUCUUGAGUGCAUAAAACAGAAAGAAUAAAAGGAAUAAAAGAGUUCAUAUGGAUCUUAUGGAUAGUAAUGACUUCACACACAAAAAGUAUGAGGCUUAAAAGGUGUUGAGAGUUGGCAAACGUAGUCUUGGUCAUCGUUGCAAUUAAUAGGAAGUAAUAAAGAAAGAGAGGUUUUCACAUAUAAAUAUACUAUCUUGGACAUCUUUUAUGAUUGUGAGCACUCAUUAAAGUAUGACAUGCUAAAGAGUUGAUGUUGGACAAGGAAGACAACAUAAUGGUUUAUGUUUUCUCACAUCUGAGUUAAAAUAUAUUGUCAUGGAUCAUUCAAACGUGUUGAGAUUGCCUUUCCCCCUCAUGCUAGCCAAAUUCCUUGCACCAAGUAGAGAUACUACUUGUGCUUCCAAAUAUACUUAAACCCAGUUUUGCCAUGAGAGUCCACCAUACCUACCUAUGGAUUGAGUAAGAUCCUUCAAUUAAGUUGUCAUGUUGCAAGCAAUACAAAUUUCUCUCUAAAUAUGUAUGACUUAUUAGUGCGGAGAAAAUAAGCUUUAUACAAUCGUGUGAUAUGGAAGUAAUAAAAGCGACGAACUGCAUAAUAAAGGUCCAUAUCACAAGUGGCAAUAUAAAGUGACAUUCUUUUGCAUUAAGAUUUUGUGCAUCUAACCAAAAAGAACAUGUCAACCUCUGCUUCCCUCUGCGAAGGGCCUAUCUUUUACUUUAUGUCUUAUACCUAUGCAAGAGUCAAGGUGAUCUUCACCUUUCCCUUUUUCAUUUUAUCCUUUGGCAAGCACCUCGUGUUGGAAAGAUCCUGAUAUAUAUAUCCAAUUGGAUGUAAGUUAGCAUGAACUGUUAUUGUUGACAUUACCCUUGAGGUAAAACAUUGGGAUGCAACACUAUAAGCCCCUAUCUUUCUCUGUGUCCGAUUAAAACUCCAGAACCAUAAGUAUUGCGUGAGUGUUAGAAAUUGUAGAAGACUAAAUGAUAGUUGAGUAUGUGGACUUGCUGAAAAGCUCUAUUAUUGACUCUUUCCCAUGUUAUGAUAAAUUGCAAUUGCUUCAAUGAGUAAGAUUAUAGUUUGUUAGUUCUCAAUGAAGUUUCUGUACCAUACUUGACAUUGUGAAUAGAUUGUUACUUGAGCAUAAGAAAUCAUAUGACAAAAUCUAUAUAUGUUGCUGUUAUAAGAAUGAUCAUGAUGCCCUCAUGUCCGUAUUUUUUUAUCGACACCUUUAUCUCUAAACAUGUGGACAUAUUUAUCGAUAUCGGCUUCCACUUGAGGACAAGCGAGGUCUAAGCUUGGGGGAGUUGAUAUGUCCAUUUUGCAUCAUGCUUUUAUAUCGAUAUUUAUUGCAUUAUGGGUUGUUAUUACACGUUAUGUCACAAUACUUAUAGGUAUUCUCUCUUAUUUUACAAGGUUUAUCAUGAAGAGGGAGAAUGCCGACAGUUGGGAUUCUGGCUGGAAAAGGAGCAAAUAUUGGAGACCUAUUCUGCACAGCUCCAAAAGUCCUGAAACUCCAUGAAAGUCAUUUUUGGAAUUAAUGAUAAUUAUUGAGCGGAAGAAGUACAAGAGGGGGCCCACACCCUAGCCACGAGGAUGGGGGGCAUGCCCACCCCUACUGGGCGCCCCCUACCUCGUGGGCCCCCUGGUGGCCCUCCGGUGCCCAUCUUCUGCUAUAUGAAGUCUUCUACCCUGAAAAAAAAUCAUAAGCAAGCUUACGGGACGAAUCUCCACCGCCACGAGGCGGAACCUUGGCGGAACUAAUCUAGGGCUCCGGUGGAGCUGUUCUGUCGGGGAAACUUCCCUCCGGGAGGGGGAAAUCAUCACCGUCGUCAUCACCAACGAUCCUCUCAUCGGGAGGGGGUCAAUCUCCAUCAACAUCUUCACCAGCACCAUCUCCUCUCAAACCCUAGUUCAUCUCUUGUAUCCAAACCUUAGAUUGGUACCUGUGGGUUGCUAGUAGUGUUGAUUACUCCUUAUAGUUGAUGCUAGUUGGUUUAUUUGGUGGAAGAUCAUAUGUUCAGAUCCUUAAUACAUAUUAAUACCCCUCUGAUUAUGAACAUGAAUAUGCUUUGUGAGUAGUUACAUUUGUUCCUGAGGACAUGGGAGAAGUUUUGCUAUUAGUAGUCAUGUGAAUUUGGUAUUCGUUCGGUAUUUUGAUGAGAUGUAUGUUGCCUCUCCUCUAGUGGUGUUAUGUGAACGUCGACUACAUGACACUUCACCGUUAUUUGGGCCUAGAGGAAGGCAUUGGGAAGUAAUAAGUAGAUGAUGGGUUGCUAGAGUGACAGAAGCUUAAACCCUAGUUUAUGCAUUGCUUUGUAAGGGGCUGAUUUGGAUCUAUAUGUUUCAUGCUAUGGUUAGGUUUACCUUAAUACUUCUUUUGUAGUUGCGGAUGCUUGCAAUAGGGGUUAAUCAUAAGUGGGAUGCUUGUCCAACAAAGGGCAGUACCCAAGCAUUGGUCCACCCACAUAUCAAAUUAUCAAAAUAACGAACGCGAAUCAUAUGAGCGUGAUGAAAACUAGCUUGACGAUAAUUCUCAUGUGUCCUCGGGAGCGCUUUUCUCAUUAUAAGAACUUGUCCAGGCUUGUCAUUUAAUACAAAAAGGAUUGGGCCACCUUGCUGCACCUUAUUUACUUUCAUUGCUUGUUACCCGCUACACAUUAUCUUAUCACAAAACUAUCUGUUACCUACAAUUUCAGUGCUUGCAGAGAAUACCUUACUGAAAACCGAUUGUCAUUUCCUUCUGUUCCUCGUUGGAUUCGACACUCUUAAUUAUCGAAAGGACUAUGAUAGAUCCCCUAUACUUGUGGGUCAUCAUGGUCCUUUAUGGAAACCCGACACAAAAAACGAGACCACAGCAGGGGCGGUAGUACCAGCGGCACUACCGCCGAUAGGCGGUACUACCGUCCUGGCCGCGGUACUACCGCUUAGCACAUAGAACCCCUUGUUUUGCACAGCUUGGAAACUCCAAAGAAGCAGGAAUAAAGCGAGGGUGCAAGAAGAAUGUGAACGUGAUGAUUCCACCCAUACUCUUUCGAAACGGAUCCCCUCUUGAUAGUAUGGUUAUCCUUACGACUCGAUUCCACCGAAAAGAAACGAAGGAAAAUAAUCCGUCUAAAGUGAAGUCCUCGAGGGGUAACAAUUGCAUAGUGCCCUUAUAUUUAGAUAACCUGAAAAGCUUAAUGCACAUGAUUAGUCCACAAACGUAUUGUCAUCAAUCACCAAAACAAACCGAGGAAAAUAAUGCCGUAACAAUCUCCCCCUUUUUGGUGGAUUGAUGACAACCCGUGAUUUGCACAAAAUAUAGUAACUGGAAAUUAAGCAAACCCUCUCCCAACAAAAUAUAGACAGGCUCCCCCUAGAGGUGUGCACCAGGGAAAUUAGCAUGAAAGGCUAUGUGCACAUCUUUAGGAUCAAACUCCCCCUAUAUUUUAUAGACAGGUAACAUCCUUGCAUAUAGGAAUAACAACAAGUACAGCUAAGCAAGGACAAGCAUGAGAGCAAUAAUAUAAGUGCCGGUAAUGAAGCAUCUCACAUGAUAACAAAGUACUUGACACUAAAGUAGAUAAGAUAGGGUAGUCCACAUAUGUCUUACACCAUAUGGUCUCACUCACAGCCGAAAGAAAGCGAACGAAAACGAAUGAACACAAUGAACACGAACACGCAAACAUAAAACCCGAAGCAAAUCCCUAACUCUCCCCUUUGGCAGCAAGAUGCUAAAGGGAAAGGGACGACACAAUGGUAGUAGAUCUCCAUGGCAUCACUCAUCAUGCUCCUCCUCCUCCUCAGAGACCUCUGCAGCACAGAGAGAAGCGUGAACUCCGGUGUCCUCCUCAGUGUCAGACCACGGGCAGUGCAGGCCGAUCCAAGUCUCCUCAUCAGUGAUCCGCUCCUCAGAGCCAUCGGCAGCCUCAAGGCCAGCCUGUCUCAUAAUGGCCUUGUCAUGAUGACGAGCCAUCUUGGCCUCCUUGUGAGCCUUGUACUAGCCCUUGGCCUAAAAGCAGAACAAACGCUUCAUCUUCUCCUUGAGUUUCUUCGCCCAAGAGGGCUCCUCAGAUGGAGGCACAUACUCCUACCCAUCAUCAUCCUCAUCAUCUGCAUUAGAUAAGACAGUCUUCUGCACUGGAGGUGCCGGAGUAGACAAACUCCAUUUCUCCUUCUGACGCAGCUCGAUAGUAUCAUGAGAAACCAUAUUGUCUAUGACAAGCUCCUCAUAUGGAAACUUGGCUGCCCAAGUGUCCUCGAUAAGCUACAUAAGAUAGGGUCCAUAAAUGAUGCACUUGCGCUCCAUGACAGCAGAGUGAAGUUCAGACCACAUUACAUGUGACACAUCCAGCACCUGCUGAGAGCCCUGCUCUUCUUGACAGAAUAGAAGCAUGUCAACAAGGUAAGGGUGCACCUGAUCCAAGUUGCCAAUCCGAGGAAACAGGAUGUUCCGAAAGAUCCGAUGCAUGAUGUCUAGAAAGGGCCAGAGCUCAUAAGAAACCUUCCCAGUCUCAGACACCUUCCUGGUAGAAUAGGGCCAAAGCUUUUCCUUAUGAGUAGCGGCAAUCUCCUUAUGAGGGCGAAACCCAAGUGGGGUCUGGGCACCCUCAUCAUUGUACAAUAAGCUGACCAUGAAGUCCUUCCAUGGUGUGGACAGAAGAUGACCAUUGGCCAUCCAAGACAGAGUACAGGCCUGAUCAUGCCCAAAGUGAACGGUGGCAAAGAACUGGGCCACGAGCUCGGCAUCAAAGUCUUUGUUGAAGGUAAUGAUCCUCUUGGUGUCCAACUCCUCACACCUCUGUAGAGCAUUCCCAAAGUAUGGCAGGUCCUUCUCCAUGUGCGAGAGAUCGACAGACUUGACCUUCACAUACAAGUUCUUCUUUUGCUUCAAGACAUCGUAAUAGAUGGAUUGCUGAAACCUGUUCCAGAACGGAUGCCUCUAAAGAGCAGGCUCCUGGUCCACAUGGUAGGGAUUGUGCUUCCUCUUGGUACAGAACUCCAUUGCAGACAUCUGAUUAGCACGCUUACGCCCAGCGGAGAUCUUCGAUGUUGGGACCUUGGCCUUGCGUUUUGGUGGUUCAGAUGAGCCACCCGCAGCAACAGUAGCAGCAAACUCAGUUGCAUCCGAAGAGCGAUAGCACUUGGAACCUCUUGCACGGUCUAGAUUCUUGCGGCGAGCCUGAUGCCCGGAGCUACUACCACCUGAAAACACACACAGACAAGAACCACAAGAGCAAGAGAGCAUAAGCCAAGGAAAGACAAACACCAAAUAUGAAACUUAGGUAGAGACACAUGGGCUUUGGCAUCUCGGGGUGGUAGUACCGCACACCGGAGCGGUAGUACUGCUCAUAAGCGGUAGUACCGCUAGGGUUCAGUGGUAGUACCGCCUGAGCGGUUGUCAGUAGGCUGACACCUACCGCGGCAAGAUCCGGUACUACCGCAGAUGCAAAAGUCCAUAUUUCUAUACCUAAUCAUCAAAAAACCUAGACUAGCAGUCUCCCAAGUUCUUCCUAAGCCUCGAUUCAACAAACAAAUCGAGGGAUGCAAUGAAUAUAGACCAAAACCUAGAUUCAAGAAGGAGAACCAAGGGAGAGAAGAAUGAGGGCAAUACCGUCAUCCAUGGCAAGAGGAGAGGGUGGGGAAAGACCCCACCGGAUGGAACCGAGGGAGACAGCCUGGGUCCGGCGGCCCGGCGGCAGACCUCCGGUGCUUGGGGAGUCGCCUAAGAGAGGAGAGGACGAGGGGAUGGGGCAAACUGAACGAGUAUGGGGGAGUAGAAACUCCUCCUGCCCAAUACAUACCCCACUCACCGAGCCCUAAGCGGUAGUACCGCGUUGGUGCAGAUCUGAAGCACAACGUGCCUAGCUGAACCGCUCCACAGUAGUACCGUGUCGGCAGGGCAGUAGUACCGCUUAUAAGCGGUAGUACCUCUCUGCAGCUGUGGUAGUACCGCUCAGGCGCCCCAAAGCAGAAACAAGGGGGAAAAGAUGGCUUAUGCAUGACUUGCAAAAGGAAAAAACAGAAAGAACACAAAAGACACAAGGCAAGCCAAGACAAACCCGAACACAACCACACCAAAGCACAACUACUCACAAGAGAGAAGCACAAGCAACAGGAAACAACACAUAGACAAACUCUCAAGAAGAGAGGGCGGUGGUCGAGACCACCUAUGUUUGAGUAAAUGGUAUGGCGCCAUGAAGAAUUAUCCUUGGGCCCAUGACCAAAACUUGUCUUUGAAGCACAAAUGCCAUAAAAAUGGCUAAUGUGAAAGACUCGAUCAAUUUAAGCAUAAUGGGGGGAGGGAGAGUUCAUUGAGAGAACAACACUCCCCCUAUGUCCAUGCCUACACCUAAACAAGACAUCAUGAAGAGUGUGGUGGGAAGUGCAAGAGUUCAAGCCACACUGCUCGAAUCAAUGAUAUUUAGCUCAUGCCUUAACUCCCGAAAUCUUGCUUCAUCCAAGGGCUUCAUGAAAAUAUCUGCAAGGUUAUCAUGAGUGUUGACAUACUUGAUCUUGAUCUCCCCUCGCCUAAUGUGAUCCCGGAUGAAGUGAUACCGAAUCUCAAUAUGCUUCAUCUUGAAGUGUUGCACCGGGUUGAGAGAGAUCUUGAUGGCACUUUCAUUGUCACACCAAAGAGGCACUUCAUCACAAGUGACACCAUAAUCCUUCAAAGUUUGCCUCAUCCAUAGAAGUUGAGCACAACAACUACCGGCAGCCACAUACUCCGCUUCGGUGGACGAGAGAGAUACACAACUUUGCUUCUUAGAAGACCAACUCACUAAGGAGUAACCAAGCAAUUGGCACCCUUCGGAGGUGGACUUCCUAUCCACUUUGUCUCCCGACCAAUCUGAGUCUGUGUAGCCUAGAAGAUCAAAGUUGGCUCCUCUUGGGUACCAUAAGCCAAAGUUUAGGGUAUGAGCCAAAUAUCGAAAGAUUUGUUUGACCGCCACAAAGUGGCUUUCCUUAGGUGCGGCUUGAAACCGUGCACAAAUUCCCACACUCAACAUGAUAUCCGGUCUAGAUGCACAAAGGUAAAGCAAGGAUCCAAUCAUGGAGCAAUAUACCUUUUGGUCCACUGCUUUACCAUUGGGAUCAAUGUCAAGUUGGCAUUUGACGGGCAUUGAAGUGGAGGCCGGCUUGACAUCACUUAGCUUGAAUCUCUUGAGCAUGUCUUGAGCGUAUUUGGCUUGGUUGAUGAAGGUUCCUUCUCUUCUUUGCUUGAGUUCGAACCCGAGAAAGAACUUCAACUCUCCCAUCAUAGACAUCUUGAACUUUGAGGUCAUGAGAGCGGCAAAUUCUUCAUUGAAAGCCUUGUUAGGGGAACCAAAUAUAAUAUCAUCAACAUAUAGUUGGCACACAAACAACUCCCCUUUGACCUUCUUAGUAAAAAGAGUGGGGUCAAUUUUCCCAAUUUCGAACCCACUAUCUUGUAACAACUCAGUAAGAUGCUCAUACCAUGCACGUGGGGCUUGUUUAAGGCCAUAGAGCGCCUUGUUGAGUUGAUACACAUGAUCGGGGAAAUAGGGAUCCUCGAACCCCGGGGGUUGUUUGACAUACACCAACUCAUUAAUGGGACCAUUAAGAAAAGCACUCUUCACAUCCAUUUGCUGCAACUUGAAAUUAUGAUGAGAAGCAUAAGCAAUCAACAAACGAAUAGAUUCAAGGCAAGCAACGGGAGCAAAGGUUUCAUCGUAGUUGAUACCUCGACUUGGGAGUAGCCUUGUGCCACCAAACAAGCCUUGUUGCGAACAAUGAUCCCAUGAGCAUCUUGCUUGUUCUUGAAUAUCCACUUGGUUCCAAUGACAUUAUGAUUCCCGGUUGGCCUUGGCACUAAUUUACACACUUGGUUGUGCUCGAAGUUGUUGAGUUCUUCAUGCAUGGCAUUGAGCCAAUCCGGAUCCUCGAGCGCCUCAUAGACCUUUUGGGGUUCGACACAAGAGACAAACGCGUGAUGUUCACAAUAGUUUGCUAAUUGUCUAUGAGUGCUUACCCCCUUUCUUAGGCUUCCAACCACAUUCUCCAUGAGAUGACCUUUGGUAGUGAGCUUGGAAGCGAUCUUCGCGGCACGACACUCUAAUUCCUCCUCAGAUGUGAAAAGAGGAGGGGUAACUUGAUUAUCUUGAGCGUUGUCUUGAGCUUGUUCUUGAUCUUGAGCUUGCUCUUGAUCUUGAACUUGCUCCAAAGGGAGAACCUGACCUUGGGCAUCACUUGGUGGUUCACCACCAUCUUGAGGUUGAUCUUUCCCUUGAUCUUGUUCACGAGGUUGAGGGCCUUCACCUUGUUCUUUGGAAGUGUGUGGGUCUUGGGUUGGUGAUGGCUCCACUUGAGUGGAGCAUUGACCUUCUCCUUCGGCCACAAGGGAUUCCUCAAUGGGUAGGAUAUGACCAACACCCAUUCUUAUUAUGGCUUGGGGAGGAAUUUCAUCACCUACAUCACAAGUACCACUUUGCUCCACUUGGGAGCCGUUAUUCUCGUCAAACUCCAUGUUACACAUCUCCUCAAUGAGUCCGGUGGACUUGUUGAGGACACGGUAAGCAUGAGAGUUUGUAGAAUAACCAACAAAUAUGCCCUCAUGAGCUCUAGCCUCAAAUUUAGACAAACGAACACCUUUCUUGAGAAUGAAACACUUACACCCGAACACCCGGAAGUACUUGAGGUUGGGCUUGUUACCGGUGAGUAUUUCAUAGGGAGUCUUGUUCAAGCCUUUGCGGAGAUAGAGCCAAUUGGAUGCAUGACAUGCGGUGUUGAUGGCUUCUGCCCAAAAGUUGUAAGGAGACUUGAACUCCACCAUCAUGGUCCUUGCCGCAUCCAUCAACGUUUGGUUCUUCCUCUCUGCUACACCAUUUUGUUGAGGGGUGUAAGGUGCAGAGUAUUGAUGCUUGAUUCCAUCAUCACUAAGAAACUCAUCCAAGGUGUAGUUCUUGAACUCGGUGCCAUUUUCACUUCUUAUUGUCAAGAUCUUUGCAUCAUGUUGACGUUGAGCUUCAUUUGCAAAGUCGAUGACAGUUUGUUGAGUCUCACUCUUCCUAUUGAAGAAAUAUACCCAAGUAUAUCUUGAAUAAUCAUCCACAAUCACCAAGCAAUACUUUUCUACCCCCAAGACUAUCAAAGGAUGGAGGCCCAAAGAGAUCCAUGUGAAGGAGCUCCAAGGGUCUCUUCGAGUAAAUGAUAGUUGUGGGAGGGUGAGCCUUCUCAUGUAGCUUUCCUUCGAUACAAGCACUGCAAGCAAGAUCUUUGGCAAAACUAACAUUCAUUAGUCCACGGACAUGGUCUCCCUUGAGAAGACUUUGCAAAGAUCUCAUAUUGACAUGGGCUAAACGGCGAUGCCAAAGCCAUCCCACGUCAACUUUAGCCAUUAGGCAUGUCGCGGUCUUAGUGGGUCGCUCCGAAAAGUUAAUCACAUAAAGACCGUUUUUGACAUGCCCAACAAAGGCUACUUUAAGAGUCUUGCUCCACAAGAGGUCCAUGGUAUCAAUAUCAAAGAAUGUGGCAAAGCCCAUGAGUGCAAGUUGACGAACGAAAAGUAAAUUGUAUGCAAGGGACUCAACAAGCAUGACUUUCUCGAUCGCGAGAUCAUGAGAAAUGACAACCUUGCCAAGACCCGAUACCUUGGAGGACGAGGCAUCACCCCACUCAAUGUUGGUGGGCAUAGAUGGAAUCUUUUGCAUGUCCACCACCAAGUCCUUGCUUCCGGUCAUAUGAUCUGUGGCUCCACUAUCGAGCAACCAUGAUCCCCCACCGGAAGCAAACACCUACAAGAGAUCAAUGCUUGGUUUUAGGUACCCAUUUUGUAAUGGGUCCUUUGAUGUUAGUAACAAGGGUCUUAGGAACCCAAAUAGACCAUUCAAUGUACUCAUAAGGAGAACCAACAAAUUUAGCAUAAACAUGCCCAUCACUAGCACGGCACAACACAUAAGAAGGGUUAAAGUCGCCGGCUUUGUUGGAAGGGGUGGCGUUGCCCUUUUUAACGUUGCCACCCUUUACAUUCUUCUUCUUCUCCUUUGAAGCACCCUCUCCCUCCUUCACAAAGGUUUGCUUGAGAGGGGGAGGUCGUUUGGUCUUGUCAUUGGACUUGGGUGCGAACCCAACUCCCUCCUUGGCUACAACUUCCUUUUGAUUGCUCAAAAGGUCAUUGAGAUUCUUCUCACCUUGUAUACACGACACAAGGCCUUUCUUAAGUUGUUCAUUCAACUUGGCAUUCUCCUCCACAAGAUGCACAUGCUCACAACACGGGUUAGUAGCAUUUGCGUUAUCAAUUAAGACCAUAUGAGAAAAGGUGGCUUUCUCCUUGGUUAGCUUCACUUGGAGUUGAUCAUGAGUCUCUUUGAGGCUAGCAUGAGCACCCUUCAAGGCCUUGUGAGCCUUGUCAAGUAAAUCAAACUUCUCUUUGAGUCUAGCAAGAUCAACACCAAGUUUAGCCUUCUUGGAGUUUAGCACACGAGAAACAAUAAGAGCAUGAUCAAGAUCUUUCUUUAAUUUAGCAUGACCAUCAUUGUGUGACUCCUCAAGAGCCAAACGAUGAACACGCUCUUCCUGAAGCGCAUUAGAGAGGUCCGAUAUCUCAUCGGCAUAGUCAUGACUAUGACCUUCCAUCUUAGAGAUGGUUUCUUCAUGAGCCUCGAUCAUGUCAUUGGCUUCACCAAGUUGUUCCAAGAGAGCAACGAAGUGCUUCUUGGAUUUGCCCUUGAGCUUACUCAUAAAGACUCAAAUUCAUUUAUUUAUUCAUUAGACCCCUCAUUUUCAUCAAUGCAAUCCGUCAAGGAGGGAUUAGUGAUGAUGGUAGUUUUGAUGUUGGGGGUUACCUUGUUGGUGGCUUUGACCAUGAGGCAUUUGGCGGUGAUGUUCUCGUUGGGUGAAUCAAAGAGAGACACCCGUGGAGUGGUGGCAAUGGCAAUGGAGGCCAUGGCCAUGACUUCACUAUCAUCAUCAUCAUCAUCAUACUCAUUGUAUUCUUCUUGUGCCACCAACCCUUUGGUUGGAGUCUUCUUGGUGAAGUUGUUCUUGCUGGGGAAGGACUUGGCUUUGUCUUUUCGGAUGAGCUUGCCACCAUUGUCUUCUCGCUUCUCGUAAGGGCAAUCCGUAACAAAGUGGCUCACAUUGCCACAAUUGUAACAUGUUCUCACACGUUGCUUGCCCUUGAAGCCACUUGAGUUGUUCUUGUUGAAGUUGGGCCUUGUGUUCUUCUUGCUCCAAAAUUGCCUUGAAGCAAGAGCCAUGUGCUCAUGACAAUCAUAUUUCGUAUCUUCGGGGUUGCUCUCCUCAUCUUCCUCAUCUUCCUCUUCUUCCACACUAACCUUGGACUUCAAGGCAAGGCUGGGAUUCUUUGCUCUUUGAGAACGCAACACCGCAUUGUCGACAGUCUUUUCCAAUAUCCUCAUUGCCAUAAACUCAUCCAACACUUCAUUUGAGGACAAGGUGUGAAAGUCCGGCCUUUGAUGGAUGACGGAGGACAUGGCCUUGUGGUAGGGCAUCAUGGCCUUGAGGAACUUGCGCUUGAUCCAAUUUUCAUCUGUAUCCUUACUCCCAUGAUCUCGGAGUGAGACCGCGAGAGUGGUUAAUCUUCGAUAAAGCACAUGAGGUUCUUCAUCUUCAUUCAUUGCAAACUCAUGGACUUCAUCUUGCACCACUUCAUAGUUGGAGCGUUGAAUGCUAGCGCUUCCCUUGUAGAGGGAAACAACAUGGUGCCAUGCUUCCUUGGCCACAGUGAAUGGUCGGAGAUGUGCAAUGUCUUCGGGUGGAAUUGCAUCUUGAAGGAUGAAGAGAGCAUUCUCAUUGAAUUGAUUAUCCGCGGCUUAUCUUGGGGUGAAGUUGCUUGGGUCAUGCGAAUAGAAACCUUCUUCAAUGAUUCUCCAAAGAUUAGUGUUAACAUGUUUUAAAUGACGCUUAAAGCGAUAGACCCAAGCAUCAAAAUCUUCAUUUUUCACAAUCUUAGGAGGAGGGCCGGCAUGAUUUAAAUGAGUAGAGGGAAUCGGUCCUCCAUAGGUAAGAGGAUGUUCCACAUGGGCAAACAUUCCAUUUCCAUUUUUACCACUAGAUAAAGGAACUCUUUCACUAGAAGCUUCCCCCUUAUCGGAGUUGGCAUCCGCCACCUUGGUAGUGGGAUCGACCACUUCCAAUGGUGCGGUGGAUAGUUUGAGACCAUCAAGAAAUUUUUUAAGCAUGCCUUUAACCUCGGCCGUCAUGGAUGUUUUCAAUGUGUCCAAGGCCACAUUGAAUUCCUCAUGUGAGACCGAGGUUCCCCCAUCGGCCAUAGACGAGGAUGGAUUCACACCAGGGUGCUCCUCCUCACCGUUUAUGGUGUCAACCAUACUCUUCGGACGAGAAAGUCCUUAAUAAAGAGACGAGGCUCUCAUACCAAUUGAAAGGAUCGAUAUAGUUGACUAGAGGAGGGGGGGGGGGUGAAUAGGCAACUAACAAUUUUUAGCUUUUCUAUACCAAAUUUAACUUUGCAUCAAAGUAGGUUGUCUAGAUAUGCAACUAGGUGAGCAACCUAUAUGAUGCAACAACAAUAAGCACACAAGCAAGCAAGGAUAGAGCACAAUAAAGCUUGCACAAGUAAAGGUGAGAGAUAACCAAAAGGGGAACCGAUGGAGACGAGGAUGUGUUACCGAAGUUCCUUCCUUUUAAGGGCAAGUACGUCUCCGUUAGAGCGGUGUGGAGGCACAAUGCUCCCCAAGAAGCCACUAGGGCCACCUUAUUCUCCUCACGCCCUCACACAAUGCGAGAUGCUGUGAUUCCACUAUUGGUGCCCUUGGAGGCGGCGACCGAACCUUUACAAACAAGGUUGGGGCAAUCUCCACAACUUAAUUGGAGGCUCCCAACGACACCAUGAAGCUUCACCACAAUGGACUAUGGCUCCGCGGUGACCUCAACCGUCUAGGGUGCUCAAACACCCAAGAGUAACAAGAUCCACAAGGGAUUAGUGGGGGGAAUCAAAUUUCUCUUGGUGGAAGUGUAGAUCGGGGCCUUCUCAACCAAUCCCUAGAAAAUCAACAAGUUUGAUUGGCUAGGGAGAGAGAUCGGGCGAAAAUGAAGCUUGGGGAUGGAAGAGGUGAGUCUUCUUGGAGAAGAAGACCCCUUUAUAUAGUGGGGGGACACAUCCAACCGUUAUGCAGCCCGCAACCCGCAUCUGGGCGGUACUACCGCUGUGGCAAGCAAGCAUAAGGCAACCAGGGCUGAGGGAGAAGAAGUACAUGCACUAGGGCGGUACUACCGCUGUGAGGGCGUACUACCACCGAUAAGUGGACUGCCGCUCCCUACAGCCGCUGGAAAACAGGGGAGGGCAGCGAGCUAAGCGACAGUUGGAGCGGACGUAGGAGCGGUACUAUCGCGACCUACUACUGUUCCUACUACCGCUCCCCUGCGUGGUCCUUUACGGAAACCCGACACGAAAAACGAGACCACAGCAGGGGCGGUAGUACCAGCGGCACUAACAAGUGGUACUACCGCCCUGGCCGCGGUACUAUCGCUUAGCACAUAGCACCCCUUGUUUUGCACAUCACGGAAACUUCAAAGAAGCAGGAAGAAAGCGAGGGUGCAAGGAGAAUGUGAACUGACGAUUCCACCCAUACUCUUCCGAAACGGAUCCCCUCUUGAUAGUACGGUUAUCCCUACGACUCAAUUCCACCGAAAAGAAACGAAGGAAAAUAAUCCGUCUAAAGUGAAGUCCUCGAGGGGUAACAAUCUCAUAGUGCUUUUAUAUUAGAUAACCUGAAAAGCUUAAUGCACAUGAUUAGUCCGCAAACGUAUUGUCAUCAAUCAUCAAAACAAACCGGGGAAAACAAUGCCCUAACAACAGUGAUGAAUGUUGUGUUAAUAGCAUCAACGAUCUAGCUAGUUUUCACAUCUUGAAGCAAGUUCGAAAAAAUUCUCCUUGCUUUUGUCGAAAAGAGAAGAACUAUUCGAUAGUAGAUGUUGCAUGUAGUUUCAUCGGAAGUUGGUGAUGAAGACAUCUUGAAGGCAUUCCCAUGACUAGAUGAAGUUCCUCCUUUUUUUUAUUGAAAAACCAAGUUUGUGCCAUUCCGCCUAGUGCGAGUCCGAAGAGAUUGCACAUCUCCAUGGAGGAGCUCGCUGCGAGGCGGAGGCGACCUGAUGCACGAUAACACCCUAGUCUUGCUGCGAUCUGCGUGACGUGUUCGUGCCUGCUCACGCGGGGCCAGUUGUGUGCGAGACAAAGAACAUGACGUAAGAAAUGACGUGAGGGGGCACAAAUCCAACCGCCCAUUAGCAUGUUAAUCGCACGAUGGGAAAGUGGACCGGCCGAAUACUCGUGCCGGUCGACCAACACAGAGUUGCGCCCUUGAUGGGCUUCAUCAUUUAUAGCGUGGAGGCAGCUUCGCUUAUUCAGAAACUGGUGACGACAUAUCUCGUUUGCUUUUAUUUUAAGUGAAAUUAAAGUGCUCUGAAAUAUAAGACGUUGGAGAGUUUUCCGACAACCCCCAAACAUAGUAAAUUGUACAAAAGUACUCCUAGUGACCUGUCGGAAACACCAGUCUGCAUGGCCAUCGCCGAGCGGCUCCCUUGCAGAUGCAACAAAGUCAGCGCCGAGCGAGCAAAAGUAGGCCGCGUGCGCCGCCGCCAGCGUGAACCGCCUGUCCGCCACCGCCAGGACCAACGCCGCCCGCUCCCGGCACAUUGCCGCAGGGUCCCGCGCCCGCGCGGAGGAGGAGUAGGUGGGUGUCGUCGUCGGCCGGCGCCACUUCGCCCUGGACGCGGCGGCCGCGAAGGUGUCGUGCGAGGGCGCACAUCCCAUGGUUCUUCAACCACUCGCCGGCCAAGAAGGAAGGGUAGGAAGAACGAACUGAAAACCCUGGCUAGACGGCUGCGACGGGUAGGAGUCAGACGUGCUUUGUUGUGGGCUCCGUCGGCUCGUUGGCAUCCAUUUUAUGGGACGCGCGGGGUCUGUCGUGCGGCUUGUGGCCUCCUUGCACUCGGAGGGCAGCGGCUCCGGCGCGGCCUCGGAUCGAGCUGCGACGGUGAAAUGAAGGAAAGAAGAGGGGAGGCGGACGGGAUUUUGAUUGGGAGGAAGGCGCGAGCCGUGUGUGCUGGGAGGGAAGGAGGGAGACGAGAAAGGAAGGAGGAGCCUGACACCCAGGAUCCGUUGUCUCCAGGUACGGCAACGACGCGGUGCGGUGGGGGAGCGUGAGCGAGACGAGGAAGAAAGCGAAGCGUGCUGUCCGUGCACGACUCGAGCGAGGGCAAAAUUGGAAAGUCGAAGAAUUUCGCAAUGCAAAAUUUUUUUUGACUAGAAUUUUGUUAAACAUCUAUAUUUCGGAUCAUAGGGAGUAGUCUAUAUUACUCACGUCAGAUGUAGCAGAACCGUGCCAGUGAUUUCAUGGCUAACUACGGCCGUACUAAACCUAGAUAUGCUGCGUGAAUUGGACAAAUAUUUGUAACACUGACCAUGUUGUUCCAGGUUGAGUAAAUACUGUACGUACAAACUACAUUCCGCUAAGCCCCAGAAAAGAAAACAUUCUGCUAAAAAAAAGAAAUCUGCUUAUUGAGUCGUUAACCUUUUUCUAUUCCCCGCGAGAAAAAAAAAAUCUAUUGGUGAAAAUUGUAUCGUUGGGCUCGUCCUUCCGCCGCCGCCGCCGCUGCUCCGUCCUUCGCUUCACCUCCGCCACCGCCCAUCUCCCAUCUGCUUCCCCGCCGCUGCUGCCUCACCAUCCCUUCUCUUCCCCUCCCUAUCCGGUCUCCGCCGCCGGCGGCUGCUUUGUCUCGCUUCUCCGCCGGCGGCGGCUGCUCUGUCUCGCUUCCCCGCCGCCGCGGCCGACCUCGACCUAGGCCCUAGGGCAACGGCGACGGAGCUCUUCGGCGGCUGCAGAGUUCAUCCUCUCUCGGUGUUACUAGGUGCAGGUUUGGCGCUCCAACAUUACUACUUGUUCUUGUUGAUGAACUCUGUAAUCUAUAUGCAAUUGUUAUCUCUCUAAAAAAAAAUUCUAUAUACAAUUGCUGGAAUCGAAAGUAAUUUGGUGACUAUGGUGGUACGUGUGCACAGCUCACGCAUGACAUCUGUCCACCCGGGUCAAAGUCGAUUUGUGUUAGAAGACCAAGGGCAGCUUAGCACUUAGCAGGCCGCAGUCUCUCAUUUUCCCCUCCUGAUGUCUGAAAUCAUCUGUGUUUUCGUUUGUAACAACAUCCUAACUUCCUUACCGAAAGCUUAUUCCAUGAUUCUUAUUUUCCAGGCCGCAUACAGAAGGUCAAGGACCCAGAUGUUUUCUUCGCAGGAAGGUUCGCAGGAAGGUGAUUUCAUCUCAUCUUCAUUCUUCUGAAGCCACAACAGUACUACUCCACUUGCUAUAGUGCCUACUGUGCAAUACCUGCAACUUAUUUCAUUACUGUAAUAAAAUGUGAUGGUGUUUCUAGAACAAUCAUCUGCAUGCAAAACACUAAAUAUUGACAGCGUCCAUGGUUAUUAUGCUUGCAUUUCUCAUGCUGAAUUGAUGAUGCAUCCAAGUUGAGUUGUAUGCAUCUCUGUUGAUAUCAUCUUGUUUAGAAUACUUAGUUUCCACACUUCAAAGUGACACCAUCCAUACACCAAAUUGUUGCCCUUGGCUCACAUAAACUAGGGUAUUGCAGUCUGAUGUGGCUGAAAAUCCUCUUGUUAUGUUAUACACCUGAAACUAUUGUUCUGUGUGGUUUUUACCCAGAGGACGCGGCCGACUUCUCUUUCAAGGAUGGUAACAGGCUGUGCUCUCUUUUUCUGCGGCAGCAAGGUCUCAUCAAGAAAAAGCGAAGGUCUGUGCAGUGCUUGCUCUCCUCUUCUAUAUGUCUGCCCCCUCCGCCUCUUAACCGUACCUUACAUAUUUUUUCCAUCUAUCUAUGCAUGAAGAUGGCUGGCCUCGCUGAAUCCCGAAUUAGGUGUCCCCUUCAAACUUAAGCGACCAAAGUUUCUGAAAGUCGUGUAAGUAUUCUACUAUCUGUGCCAGUUAUUUCCUUCUCUAAACCAGAUGCAGUGCGGUAUUACAACUGAUAUAGCUGCACGUUUCUGAUUUGAAAACAAUAUCCACUGAUUUAGUGAGUUACCUCCAUGGCUCCAUGUUUCAAGAGUUUGUGCCAAAAGCUUUGAUAGAGCAAAACUCAUUCUUCAUGUAUGCGCAAAAAUGACCCAUAGCCUGGCCCAUGUUUCUCAUCUGAAAACAACAUCCACUGAUUUAGCGAGUUACCUCAGCUCCAUGUGGUCUUGGGUUGUAAAAUAUGGCAAACCUACCAGAUUUCUAUUUAUCGUGUUUUCUCUACUUAUAAGAUUACUUUACCCAUAUCAAUAUUUUAGUAACCCUCCACAAAAAAUUCUGUUCUACAGCUACUUGGCUGAAUCGGAUGUCAGGACUGAUGAAGUAAGUUAUUCAUACUCUAACAGAACCUACAGCUUACAGUUUUCAGUUUCAGUUUUUACUCCCCUUAUUAAUGUUGCUUGCGUAGCUACUUAUUUACCCGUUAGGUUUAUAUAACAAUGAAUGACAGAUAAUUAUAUUUCUAGUACAAUAAUUAAUAAUAAGAGAACAUUUAGCAGUUUUAAUAUGUUGUGUGAUCAAAUAUGUUGCUUCAUAUGAACUUACAUCAAGAUAACUACACUUGUGGAAGGAUAUACAACAUGUCACAUUGGAAGGAGCAGAUUGAUUAUAGUGUGAGAUGAGAUAACAUCUAGGAAAAAGGGUCUAACUCACUGUUAUUGCUUGAUCGAUAGUCCAUGCUUGCUAGCUCUACCAAUUUCAUAGUAAUCACUUCUUUUUGGUGAAUAAUUUUAUUUUGAUCACUUGAUUUGAUCCUUGAGAGUAACAUCCAUGUAGCAUAAACAUGACAGUAACUGGGCAUCUUAUCGAGAAAUGUCUAUUCCAGGUGUCCAGCGAGAAAGUAAGAUGUAACAUCGAAGAAAGUUUUGGUUUGCAAAGCAAGUGUUACAUUCAUCAUGUAGUUCUGGAUGGUCUUGAGCUUUUUAAGUUGCAAAAACAGAAGGAUGGCUCUCUCUGUCCAGAAAGCUUGAAGACCAUGCACUGUACAAUCAGCAAAUUAAGCAAUGGGGCACUUGAGUCAGUGGCUAAUAUUGUCGCCCACAAUGGGAUUAGUUUCAGGAAGAUUAGGCCUACAAUGAUGAAAAUCGUGAAGGACCACCUUCCAAAAUACUUGGCUGAGUUGGACAGUGAAAGUGGUAUGCGAUUGUCUGAAAUUUUAACAAAUCCAUGCAGCUACCGUUCUAAUUCUGUCUGUCUUAGAACACCUGUUUCACCAAUGCUUCUGUCAUCUAUUGACCAAGCUUUAGCUGGGCUGGAUGAAAUUCCCCAGCAAGCUGCUAUUGCAAUCAAUAGAAAGCUCUCAGGAAAAUCAUGCCCCCCAGAAUUUCUGCAUGUAGCUCGAACUUCCAGCAGAAGCCAUCUUAUUAAUUUGAUAAGGAAAAGAUGUGGAAAUAUGAUAGCAAAGCUGCAGGAAGGCAAUGAUCUUCCAGAGAACUUUGCAAAAGCAUUGUCAGUGAUGAACCUAUAUCGGAAACUCACACUAAAGAGCAUGGCUAUUUCACAGUCAGAGUUCUUUCCCUUUCCACGUGCGACUAUAUCAUCGCAGCAAGAUAUCCUGAAUGCUCUAUGGUCACUUCCAAACGUCGAUACUGAUGAUAUGAAGUUGCUGCGUCGCAUUAUGGGCCAAGGUUCUCAAGUGAAGAUGGCAUCAUUCAAAGCAGCUGUGAGGAGGUACUUGACAGAAUGCUUGUUUGAGUGUGAUGAUGGUAAUUUACCGGAUUUGGCAGUACGUGCCAUUGGUUUCUUAGCUCAAAUGUCUCCUAAAUGUCAACAAGCUAUUCUCACUGAAGAGAGAAAGGAAGUGGAAGUAGAUGCUGUCUUGGAUUUAAGCAGUUGCCUCAGAUCUUUGGUACGUGGUGCCACUGAAGAAAACUCGAGCGAUGACGAAGUUAGCUUAGAGAGUGACAGGUGCAGUGAAGAUAAUGAUUUUGUACUCACCACGAGCAACUACUUUGAUAUUCGUUCUGAGCAACGCAUGGAUGAGGGCUGCUGUUCAAAUUUCAUGAUCAAUAGCACUGAAGAUUCUGAGUACACUGCUGGUGCUGGACAUUAUGGAGACAGUGGUGCUGCUGGCAGUACGAUGGAUCCUAGUUCGGAGAAGGACAAUGUGGAGAUGACUAGAUGCUCUGCAGAAGAUCUCUCUGCAUUAUGUGAUGACACUGCAAGUAUUGCACAUGAGCUUAUUGGGCACAUUCUUAAAAACAUGUUGACUGAAGACGAGGGGAUUGAUGAACUUACCGGAUGUUAUCUUGGAGGCAGUUCUAAUUCUCAAGAUCCUCAAGGUACAUUGUGAACCACCAGUAGAACUUUUCUAUUUAUUAUUUCUCUUUUCAGUUUUCAAUCCCCAUGUUGGGUAAUGAUUUUUAUUUGCCAUAGAUCCUGAAGCGGAGAACCAAAAAGGCGACAUUGUGAUAAAUGCUGUCCAGAGUCUCUUACCUAAUCUGCCGAAAAGGUCUGUAUACAUUUUUCAUUAUCUCCCUCACCCCCUCCAUUGUGCACGUAAACGGUCUAAUAGUAUGUUAAUGUGUGCAGCUCCAUCGACAAAGUUAGGAGCAUACUGGAUGGUGCGGAGCAGUGAGGAUGGUCAAUAGACAUUUUUAGGUGUCGAACCUUGCAUGGUGCUGUGAAUUGGGAUAUUGAAUGUGAUGGACAAUUUUACCUUAUGAAGAGGGAUGUGCAUGUUUUGUUUUGCUGGGGGAAAUGUGCAUGCAGUGGACAUUUUUUUGCCAUAUCACUGGAAAGCUAGCACAUGUGCUUACAUGGAUCCUGUAAUUAGCGUUUUUUGUGCACUCUGACAUGGUUAAGACUGGUGAUUUUUGAAAUAUACUAGCCUGUUGCAAGACUGGUGGUGUUUUUCAUUUUGCACUGCUCUGUUUCAAGUUUCAACUACUCCGAAAACUAGCACAUAUUCAAAUCACAUUAUAGUCUGAUCCACCAUCAAUUGUUGUCAUUCUCCUUUCUGCUUUCAUGAACUAUACUUUCAAAAAUUGUUUCCAGGAUUACUGUGCAAAACAUUUAUUUAAUUGGCAUUUAGUUCAAGAGAAUUGUAUUAGGAUGAAUAAAAUGCACUGUGGGUAGAACAACUAGUUAGGUGGGUGCAAUCAAGUAUGGAAAUUUACAAUCAUUCGUUUUGGUCAUAAAAAAUGUUUAUUGGGCUCAAUGUGGGGCAGUUAGGCGCCAGUUGUGCUAAUGGUGCUUGGUCAGCCCCCGAGGGGCAUCGGCUCCCAGUACCAUGGACUUUUGCAGGGCUAAUAUUUCAUUUGGUAGUAUUUCUUUUGUAUGGUAUUGUUGUCAGGCAUCAUGCCAAACAUGUCAACUUGUCCAGGCAACAAAUAUGAACUUGAGGAUGCUGUGUUGCUCGGUCUUAACCGUUACUCUGCAGACAUGAUGACUCAACCUAUCAUGGCUGUUGCUCUUCUGAAGCUCUCUUCACGGUUUCCAUCUAUCAGAGUAAGAUGUAUUUCAACUUGACCUCAUAUUGUAGUUGCAUAACUUUCUGCGAAGUACUAGCUCAAAGCUGCAACUGUUUUUAACAGUGAGCUAGUUGAAUUUGUUCUUCCGGUUCUCCCGUAUCCAUAAUGUUCCCUGUAAGUUCUGAAUGCGCUGUGCGAAACCACUUUUACGAAUUCUAAAAUUUGUGCAAUUCUGUCAUCUCUUGUUACAAAUGAACUUUGGACUCGCAGGAUCAUUUAAAUAUGGAAAUUUUCCCAACUUACUGAAGAAAUAUGUAAUGAUGUAUUGAUGUCUACACUCUGGUAAUCAUAUAGUGAUGUACCAAUACCAUUGUGUAUGAUUUGCUCUUCUUUUCGGCAUCUCUGUUCAACUUAACUUCUCCACAAACUUAUCACAUCUUUUAGAUCCUUGCAGUGGUGCCUAGUUGUAACCUCAAGAUACAUUAGCAUAUCAUUUAAAGAUUUAGUUCAUGCCUGGUAAGGCUGGCUUUCUGGGCUUUGUGGCUUUGGGCCGUUCGAUAGCGUCGCGGAUGGUUAGGAUUGAAUGUAAAAAUUCUGAGGUGGCGUCUGUAAUAUUCUCAAGGGUGAGUUUUUCUUGUCAUUUACCCGCAGUGCCAUCCCACGUCCAUGCAUGUCGGCAUUGAUUCACCGAUUCAGCCUCGCGCGCUCACCCUACGGCUCAUCACCAUCCUGAGGUCUAUCAGUUCUAUUGGCAUGUGUAGGUUUGCGUCAGUAUUAUAUAAGAUUCAUUGAACAUUCUGUUUGCAAGAAACCUUUUUGUCCUCGUCUACUCACCUAGUUCCCAGCUUAUAUAUGCUCGUGUCGUAAGUGUUUGAAAUUACUAAUGCAGUGGUUGUCCACCUAUUUAUGUUGUGCUGUUUAAUCGGAUCCUCCAACAUUCAUCUUACCUGUGCUAUUCUCCAUGUGCAGCUUACUGCUCUGAAUAAUGAAUUGCAAGCUAUGCAGAGGGACAAGGAGAUACUGAAGGCCAGUACCCAGUAGAAACACAGCAGAGGAGGCAAGAUGUUAUUGAAGCACUCUUGUCCAUGCAGCCUUGUCUUCCACCCACAACUUAUCAUCUUCUCAGUGAACUUCAGUUUCUGCUGCACUGAUGUACGUAGUACUGAUGGCCUGAAGUUCCUUGCAUUUCUCAUUCAAGGUUUAAGUCGCUAUUCUUAUUCAAGGAGAACAGAACUAUCGGUCAAAGGCUGGCGAGUUUACUGGAGAAAGAGCAAAAACAUCGGUCAAAGGGAAGCACCCCACAAAGGUAAAAAAGGACGAGGUGCUUCCAAAAUAUUGCAAUUCUACUGUUUCCUGCAAAAACAUCCUUUUGUGUGUAUGCCCAUCCUAAGAUAAUUGUUGUAACAUUGAGAUUGCCGCAAUACGUAUCCUGUGAUUAUUCUGCUUCUUACCCUGAUGAUUUAGAUGUCUUGAUGCAUUAAACUGACGUCCUAUCCUCAAAAUACAAAGUGUUCUUUUCCUUUCUUUUUAUAUGUUGAGAAAAAGUCGCACCAGGCCAAUCUGCACUCCUAGCUAGCUUUUAUGCAGAUCUCUUGUGAAUGAGUAUAUCUAAACAAUUUUGCCAUUUUGAUACUUGAAUCACUGCCUGUUACUUUCUAAUCGUUUUUUUUUGAGGAAACGCAAAAGACUUUUGUGUUUCAUUGUAUUGAAAAGGAAGAGAGUUUGUUACAACCUCCUAAGAGGUAGGGUUACAGGCAAAAUGAGAGAAAUCAGUGGACGUCCCACGUUGGUGGGAGGAUGUCACGCAGUCCUCGUGCGCCUGCGCUCGCCCAAAGCACAGCUUCGUCCUUGAUCCUCGAUCAGAGUGUUUGGCGAUGGGGUUGCUGCGUCGAAGACGCAUUCGUUGCGAUGCUUCCAGGUCAUCCAAGGGAUCAGCAGCGUCGCGGUGGAGAGGCCUUUUUGCAUCGGCUUGGGCGUGGUCUGUCGUGCUGUGCGCCACCAUCUGGUCAGGGAGUCCUCGCCAUCUGGCGCGUUGCACGUAAGGCGCAGCCAGGAAAGGAUUUCGUGCCAUACCAGCUUGGAGAAGGGGCAUGCCAGGAACAGGUGAUGGAGCGAUUCGGGCGCUUGAUCACAAAGUGGGCAGUGGGCAGGGUGCGGCAGUCCACGGUGGGCAAGGCGGUCGGCUGUCCAGCAGCGUCCCAGGUUAGCGAGCCAGUGAAAGAACUUCACGCGCGGAGGGCCCAGCUCUUCCAUGUGAGCUUUCAUGCGGGGCAGUGGGUCGAGCCUUGGAAAGUGGCAAGGUAGGCAGACUGCGCUGUGUAUGUUCCUGCCGCGUUCCACUUCCAUUGCAGGCGGUCUGGCUCAGAGGAGAGGCUGAUGGGCCAGGUUAGCAAGUACUGACCAAUCUCUUGAAUGCCAAGGAUGCCCUGGAUGUUUGAAGCCCAUCGGUGCGCCUGUAGGCCGCCACCGUUCUGUUUUUGCGGCAGUGUUUGGGGAUGGUGGUGUACAGUUGGGGUGCGAUCUCCGAGAUGGAGCGCCCAUUGAGCCAGCGGUCCUCCCAACAACGCGCGCUGGCCAUUGCCAAUGAUCAUGGUGGUGGAUGCGAAGAAGAAGGCUCGUUCCUUGCUUGUGAACUGCAGAUCGAGGCCAGUCCAAGCUCUGUUGUCAUCGGUGCGGGCAAGCCAUAGCCAUCUGGUGCGCAAGGCCAAGCCAGUGCGCUCCAGGUCAUGUAUACCGAGGCCGCCAAGGCGGGUUGGGCAGCAGACCCGUCGCCAAUUAACAUGGCAGUUGCCACCGUGUGCUUCAGUGCGGCCAGCCCAUAGGAAUCCUCGCUGAAUUUUCUCCAGGAGCUUGAUGAUCUUCUUUGGGGGCGCGAGCACCAGGAGCUGGUGUAUGGGGAUCGCGCUUCGCACAGCUUUGACAAAGGCGAGACGUCCGGCUUUGUUCAUGAGGUGGGCUUUCCAGGUGGCCAGCUUCCCGGCGGUUUUGUCAACGAGGGGUUGGAGCUGGGCGGCGGUCGGGCGUCGGAGGGUGAGGGGGAUUCCCAGGUAGGUGAUUGGGAAUUCCGCGAGCGGGCAACCCAGGGCCGCAACGGCCAGGCCGACCUCCUCGUCAUCGCAUCGGAUCGCAGUGGCGGUGCUCUUCUGGAAAUUGACCCAUAGGCCUGAUGCUCGGCCAAAGAGCUGCAGGAUCUUGCGGACAUCGAGCGUGUCGCCAGCCGAGGGGUGGCAGAAGAUGAUGACGUCAUCCACGUACAGGGAGAUGAUCGGGAUUGUGGUCAGCUCACUAGCACGUAGUAUAAUUUUAUCGAGUUUGCUUGUGUGGUGUUAAAAUUAUCUAGCAUUAUGUUUAUGAAGUGUACAAGAAUUAUCAAAAUAACAUGAACUCACGGAAUUUCACAAAAGAGAAACAUGAACUCACGCACAUGGCGUUUGAAUGGCUAGCCAUUGGCUAAUAUUAGUACAGGAUGAGUCAGUUUUAGAAGCCGAGCAGAUUACAUCUUUAGUCUCCUUUUGACUAGUCAAUCAUAUCCCACUAACAUUUUCCUCUUGUUUCAGCUGUUUAUUCCUUUCUUCCUGGAAACUGAUAACGCAAACCAUUUUUCUGAAUCGUAUGUAUGCUUGAAUUCAUCCAAACACACAUUAUUGUACACACAAGGAACCAAAGAUUACAUACAAGAACACAAAUACAUGCAUGUGAAACUACUUGAGCUUACACAGUAACCACUUUUUUUUUUAUCUCCCCACAGCUUUCUGGGUCAGUGGAAGAAGGGCACUUGUUCCUGCCAUGAAGCAAACAGGAAUGGCAGUACCUUCCAGAUGAGAUGAGAUAAUCA